UUCAUCAUCUGCAGCUACAACCCGCCAGGCAACUUCCCCGGGGUGAGCCCGUACUAGGCUAUAUGCAUGAUGCAUGCAUGCGAGCGUGCAUGUAAGUACGGCGUAUUGCAUAAAUAAAAUGAUUAAGCUGUGAUAACUGCAGUGUGAUCAGAGAUGUGAUAUCUAAUUAACCAGCCGGCCGGAUUUGAGGCCAUAUAUUGUUUAGACCGGCUGUAUAUAUGUACUGUUAUGAUUCAGGUAAUAAGUUGUGUUAUUGUACAAGCAGUGUAUAUGGAUGAAUAUAUGGUUCUACUAUUAUACUGACUAUGGUAUUUGUGCCUUGCUGUGGGAAACAACCCCAGCAUACAUAGAAACCACCAAUCAAAGUGUCUUUCUUUCAUUUUAUCAUCUCGCACUUGUUCUUUAUGUUCUGCAUUUUCUUUUUUGGAUCCCAACUCGUACACACAAACGGAGUAGAUCUCGAGAGGGCACACUAGGUCUCGUCCUGAGACUCUCGCUCCCUCCGCUGCGCCAUAGGCCACUUUGGCCGUGACGGUCACCCACUCUGCCAUUAUGGCUCACCCAUCCCCUCCCAGGUUUCACUAUGGAUCCAACUCCGGCCGCGGUCCAGUGCAAGCUUGCUCUCAACCAGCAGUCCAUCGUAGGUUCCGGACUCGCUUUCGGCCCCGCCCGUGAAUGCAGUAGAUCUGACCUCGACGCCACGAAUCCUGCCGCGGGGAGAGUCAUCCCAUGCCAUGCAUGCCUGUGGUACUUCGGAUCUGGGCAGUGUGAUUGAGCGGCAGUACCUAAAUCCAUCGUGGUCAUCCCUUCCGCUCUUGUCAACGUUUCCUAUUCAGGCGAGGACGAAGGAUGGACAAAGCUCUAAUCCCGAAUGAACACACAGACAAGUAAGGAGCCAUCAAUUAUUAGCGCGCACGUACAGCUACACCAUUUGGACCGACGCUGGGACAUCAAUGGUGCGCCGGGCCAUGAGGCCUUCUUAAGCUGCUUCAAAAUCCGAGAUCCUCUCGGCUGCAUCAUUUGCAAGCUGCCAGGGCAUUUCAGUAGAGAGUACCCUCAAAAUCCAUGAAACAGCGGACCAUGAGGGGCUGCCCGUGCGAGGCUAUGUCCGGCACCGACCAGGGCGCCAGUUCAAGAUCAGGUUCAAACCGCCGGGCAACUACCCCUUCAUCCACCAAAAGAGAUAAAAUGCGAAUGAACUUCACUAUUUGUUUCAGAAGAUAACUUACCAGUGUUGUUGUUAAUUACAAAUGAUUGUGAAGGUGUAUGGUAGGAAGCCAAUAACACUUAGUGUGGAAUAUUUUUAGAAUGUAAAGUGCAUAAUUUUUGUCUUGGAGAUGCCGGCUUGUUUCUAGUAUGAUAUAAAUUGCAAUCUUAUAAAUAGUGCUGUUUAGUUCAAUUGUUGCUCAAUAGAACAUCUCAAAAUAUCUUCGAAAGAGUUCAAUCAAUUCUUGCGAGUUAACCCGCCAAUAAUGAUUUAUGGCUAUUUGAUACUCUGGGUGCAUAUAUGCAGAAAAUAAAUCGUAUUGGUUGCAGGUUAUGAUGCUAAUACUGGACAAGGAAGCACUGGUGCAGCAGCUGUAAUCUGGAGGGGUCUAUCAUAUUGCCCGUAUCUUCUCUCACAUGUUGUGACUCGAGGCUGAAGAAACCGAAAUUAUUGCCUGGCUGAAGGACUAAAAGCACCGACGACAGUUGUAAUCCAUCCCAUCAUUCAGAUUGUUUGGCUGUUGUUUCUACUUUGAAGAAUGCAGUGCACAAUAAACCUCGACUUCACAAUAGUGAUGUGGAAACUUGGGGCUGAAUUUGUGAAGAUUGCCAGCAUGAUUCUUAUCAAUUUGGUAAAUUUUAAAACCAUAUAACAAAAAAAAAAAUGCUCAAACAUGUUGUGUCUGGUUUUUGUCGCUAGCUUUUAAACAGUAGAAAAGAUACUCUUGGUAUAGAUUGGAAAGUGUUUGAACUGAACCAGAAAAGAAAAUAUAUUUUGCAUAUACUCCAUGGGUAAGUCAUGCAGGUUGCUCUGGCAAUUAAAAAUGUAGCUAAUGGUCAGUUAUUCUUGACACUUUGGGUCUAGAUAAUUUAGGUUUCUUUCUGUUUGGUCAAUAUUAAUUAUUAUACAAUUUUAUAUAUCCAAGUAGAGAUUACAUGCCCUCACGUUUGGACUGAUCAGGGCAAAGAUUAAGUUCCGUCUAAACAACUAAAUUAUUUUAGAGGCUAUAAGUAUACCCAGCAAGGUGACCCGCGCAAGAUUUCCUAUGAGUUUUUCAUACCUAUAUUUGCAUGAGAUGUUGAGCUUGCCAUGCAAAAUUAUGGAAAAAUUUAUAGUGAAAUACACAAUAUGGAAAAUGAUUUGUCAUUGUUCUAUUUUCAGUAAAGUCAUCUGCAGACAUGGAAAAUGUUUUUAAUUUAACUACUAACAUGUUUUGUUGUUUUAUUUUGUAUAUCAUUCAAAAAAAAUAUUAUAGUCAAUACAUAUAUCAUGAGGAAAGACAUAUCUGUUGUUUUAUUGUGUAUAUUAAGUUGUUUGUAAAAGAUUUUGUAUGUGACAACAAGAACCAUAGCACUGAGUCAUGCCAAUCUACAUAGAUUAUGUGUGGAUUUCUUUUGUAUUUCCCCUUUUCAUGUUCAUCUAUUCAAUUGGGUAUCGCUAUUCUAUCCCCAAUAAAAAACCUUUCCAACCAAGUGAAAUAUAAAUAAAAGUUCGUAUGUAUUCAUCAAAAAAAUUCUAAAACAGGCUCACCAUGAAAUUAUGGUCGUAUAGUUGCAUUUGACCUAGGAACUAAAUAAUACACCUUCCCUCGAAAAACAACUAAAUAAUACACCUCGGCGGUAGUGCUUUGUUUAAAAUAUUCGGGUGUUUUUUUCUACUUUAAUACUGGCACGUGUACAACCCUUUUGAAAGUAGGAAUAUAAUUCCUCUCUAAAAAGGGGGAUAGUGUGUGUAAAAUGUAUGUCUUCUCGCUGUUAAUUCUUCCUUCCUUUGUCAUCCAUAUCCAACCUAUUUCUAUAAUGAUGUUGUGUGGUAUGAUUAUAAAAGGACGGACAACAUAGAGUAUUAUUUAUUUCACAUGGAUGGUUUUAUCAACUUGCUAACCAUGCCUUUUUGAUAGGUUUUUAGAUAGCUUAUAUUGCUCGUGCCGGUAACUCGCUAACCUUUUUUUUUUGAAAAAAGCCAGCCUUGGCUAGAGUUUCAUUCAUUAAGCAGGGAGCAGUGGACAAAGUGAGAAAGGCGGUGAUCCAGGGAUCAAGGAGGUAACAAAAGAAAAGAAAUGGAGGAGUGCCUAGGGCACCAAGAACUAGGCUAUAAUCCCACGGUGGAUCCCCGAAGGGGCUCUGAAGAAAUUUGAAACCACCCUGCUGCCACAGGCUAAGCUCUCUCCUGAUAUCGUCGAUCACAUCGUCGAUCACAUCACGCAUCCUCGCCUCCUUCUUCCUGAAAACGCAGCUGUUGCCUUGCUGCCAGAUUUUCCACAGCGCAAGCAUUAUCAGAGAUUUGAUUCCUUUUGCGUGAGCUGGCCGUGUCGUGGAGUCCACGGCUUCCACCUUUUUCAGAGAGUUGCUGUUGUUGGACUCGCACACAUGGCUCAGACCUUGGCAGUGCUGCUAAGAAGACAGUUCAGCCAAAUUGUCUUUGAGAAAGAGCAAUCCCAGAACAGGUGUGUCGAGGUCUCGAGGUUUCUGAGGCAGAGCUGGCAGAAAUAGUCGUUUGUCCAGCCCCUACGUUGGAGACGGUCGUUGCACCACAGCCGGUUCUGGUGGAGGAGCCAUGCAAACAUCUUAAGCUUCACCGGAGCCCAAGCGCCCCAGAUCAGGGCCUGGUGCAUGCCAGUCAUCAAGCCCAAGAACUGAAGGGAGUAGGCCGAGUGGGAGCUGUACUGGCCUGACCCCUCCGAGUUCCAGCGAAUUUGAUCUUGUUCUUCUGCCUGGAGGUUGAGCCGCUGACGUUGAAUAAGUCGAGGUAGGUUUAAAACCUCGCUGACUAGGUCGCUGAUGUUGCCAUGUGCGAGGUCCAAAACCCAUCGAUCGCCGUUGAUAGCCUGAGCCACAGUUCUGCCCUUGCGCCUCGAGUGUUUGAAAAGAGUUGGGAAGCAGAACUUCAACGGCACCGGCCCAAGCCAUGAGCAAUGCCAGAAGGUCGUUGUCUUGCCGUUGCCAAUGGUUACCGUCGUUGCCGCGUUGAACAGAGCAUGGUCCGAGGCAUCACAUGGCGGCUCCGUUCCCACCCAAGGGCGAGUGGGGUUUUUCCAGCCGUGCUCGACCAGGGAGCAGACUUGUUCCCAGUUGACCUUGCAGCUGAUACGUCCAUUUUGCAUCAUGCUUUUAUAUCAAUAUUUAUUGCAUUAUGGGCUUUUAUUACACAUUAUGUCACAAUAUUUAUGCCUAUUCUAUCUUAUUUUACAAGGUUUACAUGAAGAGGGAGAAUGCCGGCAGCUGGAAUUCUGGGCUAGAAAAGGAGCUAAUAUUAGAGACCUAUUAUGCACAGCUCCAAAAGUCCUGAAACUUAACGGAGGCAGUUUUUGGAAUUAAUAAAAAAUACUGGCAACAGAAUUAACCAGAGGGGGCCCACACCCUGACCACGAGGGUGGGGGGCGCGCCCUACCCCCUUGGGCGCGCCCCUGCCUCGUGGGCCCCCUGGUAGGCCUCCAGUGCCCAUCUUCUACUAUAUGAAGUCUUUCACCAUGGAAAAAAUAAGGAGGAAGCUUUCGGGACGAAACACCGCCGCCACGAGGCGGAACCUUGGCGGAACCAAUCUAGGGCUUCGGCGGAGUUGUUCUGCUGGGGAAACAUCCCUCCGGGAGGAGGAAAUCAUCACCAUAGAUCCUCUCAGCGGGAGGGGGUCAAUCUCCAUCAACAUCUUCACCAGCACCAUCUCCUCUCAAACCCUAAUUCAUCUCUUGUAUCCAAUCUUUGUCCCAAAACCUCAGAUUGGUACCUGUGGGUUGCUAGUAGUGUUGAUUACUCCUUGUAGUUGAUGCUAGUUGGUUUAUUUGGUGGAAGAUCAUAUGUUCAAAUCCUUUAUGCAUAUUAAUACCCCUCUGAUUAUGAACAUGAAUAUGAUUUGUGAGUAGUUACGUUUGUUCCCGAGGACAUGGGAGAAGUCUUGCUAUAAGUAGUCAUGUGAAUUUGGUAUUCGUUCGAUAUUUUGAUGAGAUGUAUGUUAUCUUUCCUCUAGUGGUGUUAUGUGAACGUCGACUACAUGACACUUCACCAUUGUUUGGGCCUAGAGGAAGGCAUUGGGAAGUAAUAAGUAGAUGAUGGGUUGCUAGAGUGACAGAAGUUUAAACCCUAGUUUAUGCGUUGCUUCGUAAGGGGCUGAUUUGGAUCCAUAUGUUUCAUGCUAUGGUUAGGUUUACCUUAAUACUUCUUUUGUAGUUGCGGAUGCUUGCGAUAGGGGUUAAUCAUAAGUGGGAUGCUUGUCCAAAGAAGGGCAGUACCCAAGUACCGGUCCACCCACAUAUCAAAUUAUCAAAGUAACGAACGCGAAUCAUAUGAGCAUGAUGAAAACUAGCUUGACGAUAAUUCCCAUGUGUCCUCGGAAGCGUUUUCCUUCAUAUAAGAGUUUGUCUAGGCUUGUACUUUGCUACAAAAAGGAUUGGGCCACCUUGCUGCACCUUAUUUACUUUCAUUACUUGUUACCCGUUACAAAUUACCUUAUCACAAAACUAUCUGUUACCGAUAAUUUCAGUGCUUGCAGAGAAUACCUUACUGAAAACCGCUUGUCAUUUCCUUCUGCUCCUCGUUGGGUUCGACACUCUUACUUAUCGAAAGGACUACCAUAGAUCCCCUACACUUGUGGGUCAUCAAGACUCUUUUCUGGCACCAUUGCCGGGGAGUGAAGUGCCUUUGGUAAGUGGAAUUUGGUAAGGAAAAAUGUAUACAGUGUGCUGAAAUUUACUGUCACUUGUUACUAUGGAAAGUAAUCCGUUGAGGGGCUUGUUCGGGGUAUAUUCAUGCCGACCAAUAGAGCAAAGAGUUGCUCCUCAACCUACUAAACCUACUGAAAAUGUUUACUUUGAAAUUCCUCCGGGUAUGAUAGAGAAACUGCUAGCUAAUCCUUUUACAGGAGAUGGAACAUUGCAUCCCGAUUUACACCUAAUCUAUGUGGAUGAAGUUUGUGGAUUAUUUAAGCUUGCAGGUAUGCCCGAGGAUGUUAUCAAGAAGAAGGUCUUCCCUUUAUCUUUGAAGGGAAAGACAUUGACAUGGUUUAGGCUAUGUGAUGAUAUGGGAUCAUGGAACUACAACCGACUGAAAUUGGAAUUUCAUCAGAAGUUUUAUCCUAUGCAUCUUGUUCAUUGUGAUCGUAAUUAUAUAUACAAUUUUUGGCCUCACGAAGGAGAAAGCAUCGCUCAAGCUUGGGGGAGGCUUAAGUCAAUGUUAUAUUCAUGCCCCAAUCAUGAGCUCUCAAGAGAAAUUAUUAUUCAAAAUUUUUAUGCUCGGCUUUCUCUCAAUAAUCGCUCCAUGCUCGAUACUUCUUGUACUGGAUCUUUUAUGAUGAAGACUAUUGAAUUCAAAUGGGAUUUAUUGGAAAGAAUUAAACGCAACUCUGAAGAUUGGGACCUCGACGAAGGUAAGGAGUCAGGUAUAACACCUAAGUUUCAUUGUGUUAAAUCUUUUAUGGAUACCGAUGUUUUCCGUGAAUUUAACACUAUAUAUGGACUUGAUUCUGAGAUAGUAGCUUCUUUCUGUGAAUCCUUUGCUACUCAUGUUGAUCUCCCUAAGGAGAAGUUGUUUAAAUAUAAUCCUCCCAUUGAAGUAAAAGUAGUUGCACCUAUUAAAGUUGAAGAAAAGACUAUCACUUAUAAUGUUGAUCCUGUUGUUCCUACUGCUUAUAUUGAGAAAGCACCUUUCCCUGUUAGAAUAAAGGAUCAUGCUAAAGCUUCAACUGUGGUUCGUAAGAGUAACGCUAGAACACCUACACCCCCUGAGCAAAUUAAAGUUGAACCUAGUAUUGCUAUGGUUAAAGAUCUCUUGGUCGAUAAUAUUGAUGGGCAUGUUAUUUACUUCUGUGAUGAAGCUGCUAGAAUUGCUAGACCUGAUACUAAAAAUAAACAUAGACCUGUUGUAGGCAUGCCUGUUAUUUCUGUUAAAAUAGGAGAUCAUUGUUAUCAUGGUUUGUGUGAUAUGGGUGCUAGUGCAAGUGCAAUACCUCAUUCCUUAUACAAAGAAAUUAUGCAUGAUAUUGCACCUGCUGAGAUAGAAGAAAUUGAUGUUACAAUUAAACUUGCCAAUAGAGACACUAUUUCACCAGUUGGGAUUGUUAGAGAUGUUGAAGUCUUGUGUGGGAAAGUUGAAUAUCCUGGUGAUUUUCUUGUUCUUGGUUCCCCACAAGAUGACUUUUGUCCUAUUAUAUUUGGUAGACCCUUCUUGGAUACUGUUAAUGCUAGGAUAGACUGCAAAAAGGAUGUUGUUACUAUUGGUUUAGGAGAUAUGUCUCAUGAGUUUAAUUUUGCUAAAUUUCGUAGACAACCCCAUGAUAAAGAAUUGCCUAGUGAAGAUGAAAUUAUUGGUCUUGCUUCUAUUGCCGUGCCUCCUAAUGAUCCUUUAGAACAAUAUUUGCUAGACCACGAAAAUGAUAUGUUUAUGAAUGAAAGAAGGGAAAUAGAUGAAGUAUUCUUUAAACAGGGACCUAUUUUGAAACACAACUUGCCUGUUGAAAUCCUAGGGGAUCCUCCUCCACCCAAGGGUGAUCCCGUGCUUGAGCUUAAACCAUUACCUGGUACUCUUAAAUAUGCAUAUCUUGAUGAAAAGAAGAUAUAUCCUGUUAUUAUUAGUGCUAACCUUUCAGAGAAGGAAGAAGAGAAAUUAUUGAAAACUAUUAAGAUGCUUAAAGACGUUAUUUUUCCGAGGUUUGGAGUCCCUAGAUAUUUAAUGACUGAUGGUAGUUCACAUUUUAUUCAUGGUGCUUUUCGUAAAAUACUUGCUAAUUAUGAUGUUAAUCAUAGAAUUGCAUCUCCCUACCACCCACAAUCUAGUGGUCAAGUAGAAUUAAGUAAUAGAGAGAUCAAAUUAAUUUUGCAAAAGACUGUUAAUAGAUCUAGAAAGAAUUGAUCCAGGAAACUUGAUGAUGCAUUAUGGGCCUAUAGAACUGCAUAUAAAAAUCCUAUGGGUAUGUCUCCAUAUAAAACAGUUUAUGGAAAAGCAUGUCAUUUACCUCUCGAACUAGAACAUAAGGCAUAUUGGGCCAUUAAAGAGAUCAAUUAUGAUUUCAAACUUGCCGGUGAGAAGAGGCUAUUUGACAUUAGCUCACUUGAUGAAUGGAGAACCCAAGCCUAUGAGAAUGCCAAACUGUUUAAAGAAAAAGUUAAAAGAUGGCAUGGCAAAAGAAUACAAAAGCGUGCGUUUAAUUGAUACGUCUCCAACGUAUCUAUAAUUUUUGAUUGUUCCAUGCUAUUAUAUAUUCUGUUUUGGAUGUUUAAUGAGAUUUAUUUUACACUUUUAUAUUAUUUUCGGGACUAACCUACUAACCCAAGGCCCAGUGCAAAUUGUCGUUUUUUUGCCUAUUUCAGUGUUUCACAGAAAAGGAAUAUCAAACGGAGUCCAAACGGAAUGAAACCUUCGGGAGAGUUAUUUUUGGAACAAACGUGAUCCAGAGGACUUGGAGUGGACGUCAAGAAACGAACCAGGAGGUCACGAGGCAGGGAGGCGCGCUUUCCCCCCUGGGCGUGCCCCCCACCCUCGUGGGCCCCUCGUGGCUCCACCGACCUACUUCUUCCUCCUAUAUAUACCUAUGUACCCCGAAAACAUCAAGGAGCACCACGAAACCCUAUUUCCACCGCCGCAACCUUCUGUACCCGUGAGAUCCCAUCUUGGGGCCUUUUCCGGCGCUCCGCCGGAGGGGGCAUCGAUCACGGAGGGCUUCUACAUCAACACCAUAGCCUCUCUGAUGAUGUUUGAGUAGUUUACCACAGACCUUUGGGUCCAUAGUUAUUAGCUAGAUGGCUUCUUCUCCCUCUUUGGAUCUCAAUACAAAGUUCUCCUCGAUCUUCUUGGAGAUCUAUUCGAUGCAACUCUUUUUGCGGUGUGUUUGUCGAGAUCCAAUGAAUUGUGGGUUUAUGAUCAAGAUUAUCUAUGAACAAUAUUUGAAUCUUCUCUGAAUUCUUUAUGUAUGAUUGGUUAUCUUUGCAAGUCUCUUCGAAUUAUCAGUUUGGUUUGGCCUACUAGAUCGAUCUUUCUUGCAAUGGGAGAAGUGCUUAGCUUUGGGUUCAAUCUUGCGUUGCUCGAUCCUAGUGACAGAAGGGGAAACGACACAUAUUGUAUUGUUGCCAUCGAGGAUAAAAAGAUGGGGUUUAUAUCAUAUUGCUUGAGUUGAUCCCUCUACAUCAUGCCAUCUUGCCUAAUGCGUUACUCUGUUCUUAUGAACUUAAAACUCUAGAUGCAAGCUGGAUAGCGGUCGAUGUGUGGAGUAAUAGUAGUAGAUGCAGGCAGGAGUCGGUGUACUUGUUGCGGACGUGAUGCCUAUGUACAUGAUCAUGCCUAGAUAUUCUCAUAAUUAUGCACUCUUCUAUCAAUUGCUCGAUAGUAAUUUGUUCACCCACCGUAAUACUUAUGCUAUCUUGAGAGAAGCCACUAGUGAAACCUAUGGCCCCCGGGUCUAUUUUCUAUCAUAUAAGUUUCCAACCUAUUUUUACUUUGCAAUCUUUACUUUUAAUCUUUAGCUUAAAAAUACCGAAAAUAUUAUCUUAACAUCUCUAUCAGAUCUCACUUUUGCAUGUGGCCGUGAAGGGAUUGACAACCCCUUUAUCACGUUGGUUGCAAGGUUCUUAGUUGUUUGUGUAGGUACGAGGGACUUGCGUGUGGCCUCCUGCUGGAUUGAUACCUUGGUUCUCAAAAACUGAGGGAAAUACUUACGCUACUUUGCUGCAUCACCCUUUCCUCUUCAAGGGAAAACCAACGCAGUGCUCAAGAGGUAGCAAGAAGGACUUCUGGUGCCGUUGCCGGGGAGGCUUACACUAAGUCAAGUCAAGAUUUGAACUCCCGACAACGAGCGAUUUCUGGUGCCGUUGCCGGGGAGUCUACGCACAAGAGAAGACAUACCAAGUACCCAUCACAAACUCUUAUCCCUCGAAUUACAUUAUUUGCCAUUUGCCUCUCUUUUUCCUCUCCCCCACUUCACCCUUGCCGUUUUAUUCGCCCUCUUUUUCCGUUCGCUUUUUCUUUCGCUUGCUUCUUGUUUGCUUGUGUUUUGGAUUGCUUGCUUGUCACGAUGGCUCAAGAUAAUACUAAAUUGUGUGACUUUGCCAAUACCAACAACAAAGAUUUUCUUAGCACUCUGAUUGCUCCUAUUACCGAUGCUGAAUCUUGUGAAAUUAAUGCUGCUUUGCUGAAUCUUGUCAUGAAAGAUCAAUUCGCUGGCCUUCCUAGUGAAGAUGCCGCUACCCAUCUAAAUAGCUUUGUGAUUUGUGCGAUAUGCAAAAGAAGAAAGAUGUGGACAAUGAUAUUGUUAAAUUGAAGCUAUUUCCGUUUUCGCUUAGAGAUCGUGCUUAAACUUGGUUUUCGUCUUUGCCUAAACAUAGUAUUGAUUCAUGGAAUAAGUGCAAAGAUGCUUUUAUCUCUAAAUAUUUUUCUCCCGCUAAGAUUAUCUCUCUUAGAAACGAUAUUAUGAAUUUUAAGCAACAUGAUCAUGAACAUGUUGCACAAUCUUGGGAGAGGAUGAAAUUAAUGAUACGUAAUUGCCCUACACAUGGUUUGAAUUUAUGGAUGAUUAUGCAAAUUUUUUAUGCCGGAUUGAAUUUUGCUUCUAGAAAUCUUUUAGAUUCGGCCGUGGGAGGCACUUUUAUGGAAAUCACUUUAGGAGAAGCUACUAAACUCCUAGAUAAUAUUAUGGUUAAUUAUUCUCAAUGGCACACUGAAAGAUCUACUAGUAAAAAGGUGAAUGCAAUUGAAGAGAUUAAUGUUUUGAGUGGAAAGAUGGAUGAACCUAUGAAGUUGUUUGCUAAUAAGAGUGUUUCUUAUGAUCCUAAUGAUAUUCCUUUGUCUUCUUUGAUUGCGAAUAAUAAUGAAUCUAUGGAUGUGAAUUUUGUUGGUAGGAAUAAUUUUGGUAACAACGCUUAUAGAGGAAACUUUAAUCCUAGGCCGUAUCCUAGUAAUUCCUCUAAUAAUUAUGGUAAUUCCUACAACAACUCUUAUGGAAAUUUUAAUAAGUUGACCUCUGAUUUUGAGACUAGUGUUAAAGAAUUUACGAUUUCUCAAAAGAAUUUCAAUGCUUUGCUUGAAGAAAAAUUGCCUAAGAUUGAUGAGUUGGCCAGGAACGUGGAUAGAAUUUCUCUUGAUUUUGAUUCUUUAAAACUUAGAUCUAUUCAACCUAAGCAUGAUAUCAAUGAGUCUCUCAAAGCUAUGAGAAUUUCCAUUGAUGAGUGCAAAGAAAGAACCGCUAGGAUGUGUGCUAAAAAAGAUUGCUUUGUGAAAGCGUGUUCUUCUAGUUUUCAUGAUAAUAAAGAUGAAGAUCUAAAAGUGAUUGAUGUGUCCCCUAUUAAAUCUUUGUUUUGCAAUAUGAAUCUUGAUAAUGAUGGGACUGGAGAUGAGUCAACUUUAGUUAAAAGGCGUCCCAAUGAUUCGGAGUUUUUAGAUCUUGAUGCAAAAAUUGGUAAAAGUGGGAUGGAAGAGGUCAAAACUUUACAUAGCAAUGAACCCACUAUUUUGGAUUUCAAGGAAUUUAAUUAUGAUAAUUGUUCUUUAAUAGAUUGUGUUUCCUUGUUGCAAUCCGUGCUAAAUUCUCCGCAGGAUUAUAGUCAAAAUAAGGCUUUUACCAAACAUAUCGUUGAUGCUUUAAUGCAAUCUUAUGAAGAAAAACUUGAAUUGGAAGUUUCUAUCCCUAGAAAACUUUAUGAUGAGUGGGAACCUACUAUUAAAAUUAAAAUUAAAGAUCAUGAAUGCUAUGCUUUGUGUGAUUUGGGUGCUAGUGUUUCCACAAUUCCAAAAACUUUGUGCAUUAUGUUAGGUUUCCGUGAAUUUGAUGAUUGUUCUUUAAACUUGCACCUUGCGGAUUCCACCAUUAAGAAACCUAUGGGAAGAAUUAAUGAUGUUCUUAUUUUUGCAAAUAGGAAUUAUGUGCCCGUAGAUUUCAUUGUCCUUGAUAUAGAUUGCAAUCCUUCAUGUCCUAUUAUUCUUGGUAGACCUUUCCUUAGAACGAUUGGUGCAAUUAUUGAUAUGAAAGAAGGGAAUAUUAGAUUCCAAUUUCCGUUAAGGAAGGGCAUGGAACACUUCCCUAGAAAGAAAAUUAAAUUACCUUAUGAAUCUAUCAUGAGAGCCACUUAUAGGUUGCAUACCAAAGAUGGCAAUACCUAGAUCUAUCCUUGCCUUUAUGCCUAGCUAGGGCGUUAAACGAUAGCGCUUGUUGGGAGGCAACCCAAUUUUAUUUUUGUUUCUUGAUUUUUGGUUCUGUUUAGUAAUAAAUCUUUGAUCUAGACUCUGGUUAGAUGUGGUUUUAUGUUUUAAUUAGUGUUUGUGCCAAGUAGAACCUAUAGGAUCUUCUUGGAUGAUAGUUAUUUGAUCUUGCUGAAAAAGUCAAAAACUUUCUGCUCACGAAAACAAUUGUUAAAAAUCACCAGAACGCGAUAAAAUACUGAUUCCAAUUGAAGUAGAUCAAUAAAAAAUUUAUCUAGGUCGUCCUAUUUUGGUAGAUUUUUCUGAGUUAUAGAAGUUUGCGUUAGAUACAGAUCACUACAGACUGUUAUGUUUUUGACAGAUUCUGUUUUUCGUGUGUUGUUUGCUUAUUUUGAUGAAUGUAUGGCUAGUAUCGGAGGUUAUGAAGCAUAGAGAAGUUGGAAUACAGUAGGUUUACCACCAAUACAAAUAUAGAAUGAGUUCAUUACAGUACCUUGAAGUGGUGUUUUGUUUUCUUUCGCUAACGGAGCUCAUGAGAUUUUCUGUUAAGUUUUGUGUUGUUAAGUUUUCAAGUUUUGGUUAAAGAUUUGAUGGAUUAUGGGAACAAGGAGUGGCAACAACCUAAGCUUGGGGAUGCCCAAGGAACCCCAAGGUAAAAUCCAAGGACAACCAAAAAGCCUAAUCUUGGGGAUGCCCUGGAAGGCAUCCCCUCUUUUGUCUUCGUCCAUCGGUAACUUUACUUGGAGCUAUGUUUUUAUUCACCACAUGAUUUGUCUUUUGCUUGGAGCGUCUUGUAUGAUUUGAAUCUUUGCUUUUUAGUUCACCACAAUCAUCCUUUUUGUACACACCUUUUGGUAGAGACACACAUUAAUCGGAAUUUAUUAGAAUACUCUAUGUGCUUCACUUAUAUCUUUUGAGCUAGAAAAUUUUGCUCUAGUGCUUCACUUAUAUCUUUUAGAGCACGGCGGUGGUUUUAUUUUAUAGAAAUAAUUGAUCUCUCAUGCUUCACUUAUAUUAUUUUGAGAGUCCUUUAGAACAGCAUGGUAAUUUGCUUUGGUUAAAAUUUUAGUCCUGAAGUAAUAGGCAUCCAAGAUAGGUAUAAUAAAAACUAUCAUAUAAAGUGCAUUGAAUACUAUGAGAAGUUUGAUACUUGAUAAUUGUUUUGAGAUAUGAAUAUGGUAAUAUUAGAGUCAUGCUAGUUGAGUAGUUGUGGAUUUGAGAAAUACUUGUGUUAAAGUUUGUGAUUCCCGUAGCAUGCACGUAUGGUGAACCGUUAUGUGAUGAAGUCGGAGCAUGAUUUAUUUAUUGAAUGUCUUCCUUAUGAGUGGCGGUCGGGGACGAGCAAUGGUCUUUUCCUACCAAUCUAUCCCCCUAGGAGCAUGCGUGUAGUACUUUGUUUUGAGAACUAAUAGAUUUUUGCAAUAAGUAUGUGAGUUCUUUAUGACUAAUGUUGACUCCAUGGAUUAUACGCACUCUCACCCUUCCACCAUUGCUAGCCUCUCUAAUGCCGCGCACCUUUCGCCGGUAUCAUACACCCACCAUUUACCUUCCUCAAAACAGCCGCCAUACCUACCUAUUAUGGCAUUUCCAUAGCCAUUCCAAGAUAUAUUGCCAUGCAACUUACCACCGUUCCGUUUAUUAUGACACGCUUGAUCAUUGUCAUAUUGCUUUGCACGAUCAUGUAGUUGACAUCGUAUUUGUGGAAAAGCCACCAUUCAUAAUUCUUUCAUACAUGUCACUCUUGAUUCAUUGCAUAUCCCUGUACCCCGCCGGAGGCAUUCACAUAGAGUCAUAUUUUGUUCUAAGUAUUGAGUUGUAAUUUUUGAGUUGUAAGUAAAUAAAAGUGUGAUGAUCAUCAUUAUUAGAGCAUUGUCCUAUGUGAGGAAAGGAUGAUGGAGACUAUGAUUCCCCCACAAGUCGGGAUGAGACUCCGGACAAAAUAAAAAAAAAGAGAAAGAAAAGAGGCCAUAAAGAAAAAGAGAAGAAGGCCCAAAAAAAUGAGAGAAAAAGAGAGAAGGGACAAUGCUACUAUCCUUUUACCACACUUGUGCUUCAAAGUAACACCAUGAUCUUCAUGAUAGAGAGUCUCCUAUGUUGUCACUUUCAUAUACUAGUGGGAAUUUUACAUUAUAGAACUUGGCUUGUAUAUUCCAAUGAUGGGCUUCCUUAAAAUGCCCUAGGUCUUCGCGAGCAAGCGAGUUGGAUGCACACCCACUUAGUUUCUUUCGUUGAGCUUUCAUACACUUAUAGCUCUUGUGCAUCCGUUGCAUGGCAAUCCCUACUCACUCACAUUAAUAUCUAUUAAUGGGCAUCUCCAUAGCCCGUUGAUACGCCUAGUCGAUGUGAGACUAUCUUCUCCUUUUUGUCUUCUCCAGAACCACCAUUCUAUUCCACCUAUAGUGCUAUGUCCAUGGCUCACGCUCAUGUAUUGCGUGAAGAUUGAAGAAGUUUGAGAACAUUAAAAGUAUGAGACAAUUGCUUGGCUUGUCAUCGGGGUUGUGCAUGAUUAAAUACUUUGUGUGGUGAAGAUAGAGCAGCCAGACUAUAUGAUUUUGUAGGGAUAACUUUCUUUGGCCAUGUUAUUUUGAGAAGACAUGAUUGCUUUGUUAGUAUGCUUGAAGUAUUAUUAUUUUUAUGUCAAUAUUAAACUUUUAUCUUGAAUCUUUCAGAUCUGAACAUUCAUGCCACAAUAAAGAAAAUUACAUUGAGAACUAUGCUAGGGAGCAUUCCACAUCAAAAAUUCUGUUUUUAUCAUUUACCUACUCAAGGACGAGCAGGAUUAAGCUUGCGGAUGCUUGGUACGUCUUCAACGUAUCUAUAAUUUUUUUAUUGUUCCAUGCUAUUAUAUAUUCUGUUUUGGAUAUUUAAUGGGAAAAUUGUUGUUUUUUUCCCUAUUUCAGUGUUUCACAGAAAAGGAAUAUCAAACGGAGUCCAAACGGAAUGAAACCUUCGGGAGAGUUAUUUUUGGAACAAACGUGAUCAAGAGGACUUGGAGUGGACGUCAAGAAACGAACGAGGAGGCCACGAGGCAAGGAGGCGCGCCUGCCCCUGGGUGCGCCCCCACCCUCGUGGGCCCCUCGUGGCUCCACCGACCUACUUCUUUUGCCUAUAUAUACUCAUAUACCCUGAAAACAUCCAGGAGCACCACGAAACCCUAUUUCCACCGCCGCAACCUUCUGUACCCGUGAGAUCCCAUCUUGGGGCCUUUUCCGGCGCUCCGCCGGAGGGGGCAUCGAUCACGGAGGGCUUCUACAUCAACACCAUAGCCUCUCCGAUGAUGUGUGAGUAGUUUACCACAGACCUUCGGGUCCAUAGUUAUUAGCUAGAUGGCUCCUUCUCUCUCUUUGGAUCUCAAUACAAAGUUCUCCUCAAUCUUCUUGGAGAUCUAUUCGAUGUAACUCUUUUUGCGGUGUAUUUGUCGAGAUCCGAUAAAUUGUGGGUUUAUGAUCAAGAUUAUCUAUGGACAAUAUUUGAAAAUUCUCUGAAUUCUUUAUGUAUGAUUGGUUAUCUUUGCAAGUCUCUUCGAAUUAUCAGUUUGGUUUGGCCUACUAGAUUGAUCUUUCUUGCAAUGGGAGAAGUGCUUAGCUUUGGGUUCAAUCUUGCGUUGCUCGAUCCUAGUGACAGAAGGGGAAACGACAUGUAUUAUAUUGUUGCCAGCGAGGAUAAAAAGAUGGGGUUUAUAUCAUAUUGCUUGAGUUUAUCCCUCUACAUCAUGUCAUCUUGCCUAAUGCGUUACUCUGUUCUUAUGAACUUAAUACUCUAGAUGCAAGCUGGAUAGCGGUCGAUGUGUGGAGUAAUAGUAGUAGAUGCAGGCAAGAGUCGGUGUACUUGUUGCGGACGUGAUGCCUAUGUACAUGAUCAUGCCUAGAUAUUCUCAUAAUUAUGCACUCUUCUAUCAAUUGCUCGACAGUAAUUUGUUCACCCACCGUAAUACUGAUGCUAUCUUGAGAGAAGCCACUAGUGAAACCUAUGGCCCCCGGGUCUAUUUUCCAACAUAUAAGUUUCCAAUCUAUUUUUACUUUGAAAUCUUAACUUUUGAUCUUUAUCAUAAAAAUACCAAAAAUAUUAUCUUAUCAUCUCUAUCAGAUCUCACUUUUGCAAGUGGCCGUGAAGGGAUUUACAACCCCUUUAUCGCGUUAGUUGCAAGGUUCUUAUUUGUUUGUGUAGGUACGUGGGACUUGCGUGUGGCCUCCUACUGGAUUGAUACCUUGGUUCUCAAAAACUGAGGGAAAUACAUACGCUACUUUGCUGCAUCACCCUUUCCUCUUCAAGGGAAAACCAAUGCAUGCUCAAGAGGUAGCGUUAAUGUAGGUGAUUAUGUGUUGCUAUUCAACUCUCGUUUAAGAUUUUUUGCAGGAAAGCUUACCUCUAGAUGGGAAGGUCCUUACAUUAUCGAGGAGGUCUAUCGUUCCGGUGCCAUAAAAAUCAAUAAUUUCGAAGGCACAAAUCCGAAGGUGGUAAAUGGUCAAAGAAUCAAACAUUAUAUCUCAGGUAAUCCCAUAAAUGUUGAAACUAAUGUUAUUGAAACCGUAACCCCGGAGGAGUACAUAAGGCACACCUUCCAGAACGUUUCAGACUCCGAAAAGGAAUAAGUAUGAGGUACGGUAAGUAAACCGACUCCAAAACAGUUCUAAUGGCAGUUUUUCUCCGUUUUGGAUUAUUUAAGAAAAUAGGAAAAUAACAAGUAGUCCGGGAAGGACACGAGGCGUCCACGAGGGUGGAGGGCGCGCCCCCCUUCCUCGUGGGCAUCUCGUGUGCUCUCUGGAAUCCGUUUUCUUGCACGAUACUUCUUUUGGUCGGUAAAAAUUCAUUAUAUAAUCUCCCGAAGGUUUUGACCCUCGUAUCACGCAAAUAUCCUCAGUUUUUGUUUCGAGCUGUUUUCUGCCAGAGUUGUCAAGGCCAUGCAUCAUGUUGUCCCCCUCCUCCAACAAUGAGGUCAACGAUGCUUGUCUAAUGAAGAUAGAGCUGAAGAGAGAAGAACCCGGGGAGAUCAACAAGGAUGAGGGGAUCAAGAAGGCCAUGGAGGAUCGAGCUCCGGUAGCAGAAGAAGAAGACAUCCUUCAACCUCAUUACGAUCUUCUUACCCCAAUGGAGAUUGAAGCUUUCAAGAUGAUUGAGUUAGCUCGUAUACAAAACAAGUAUCUCACUCAUGAAAAUAUUUUGUUGAAGGAGGAUAUCAUCGCCCCCAAGGGCAUUAUCCGCAAAUUGGAGGAUCUCCUACGCUCGAUGUGCGACUAUCCAUCAUCACCACCAUCUUCUUCACCAGCAAAGGAGAACUGAGUAUCUAGUAUGGGCACUCCCCUUGGCAACCGCCAUGCUUGGGGGAGGUGCCCCGGUAUCAUAUCACCAGCACACUUUUAUCUUUACCGUUUUUCUUAGUUUGAUCCUUUUGGUAAUAUCUUCAUCUAGUAGAAUAAAGUUUUAGUAUGAUUUAGUUUUGAGUUUUGCUCUAUGAUCCUUCUAUGUAAUCAAGUCCGUGAGCUAUACAUAAUAAAGAUUAGUUUUGAAUCAAGGGCUUGAUUAUCUUGCUAUGAUCUUGAGGGAAUAAAAGAAAAAGAAAGAAUAAAAAGAAAUAAAGAGAUCAUAUUGAUCUUAUGGAGAGUAAUGACUUCACAUAUAAAGAGUUGAUGAAUAAAAGUUAUUGAGAGUUGACAAAGAUAGUUUUGGUCAUCGUUGCAAUUAAUAGGAAGUAAUAAAGAAAGAGAGGUUUUCACAUAUAAAUAUACUAUCUUGGACAUCUUUUAUGAUUGUGAUCACUCAUUAAAAUAUGACAUGCUAAAGAGUUGAUGUUGGACAAGGAGGCAACGUAAUGGGUUAUGUUAUCUUAUAUCCGAAAUAAAGUAUAUUGUCAUGGAUCAUCCAACAUGUUGAGCUUGCUUUUCCCCCUCAUGCUAGCCAAAUUCUUUGCACCAAGUAGAGAUACUACUUGUGCUUCCAAAUAUCCUUAAACCCAGUUUUGCCAUGAGAGUCCACUAUAUCUACCUAUGGAUUGAAUUAGAUCCUUCAAGUAAGUUGUCAUCAUUGCAUGCAAUAAAAAUUGCUCUCUAAAUAUGUAUGAUUUAUUAGUGUGGAGAAAAUAAUCUUUAUACGAUCUUGUGAUGUGGAAGAAAUAAAAGCGACGGACUGCAUAAUAAAGGUCCAUAUCACAAGUGGCAAUAUAAAGUGACGUUCUUUCGCAUUAAGAUUUUGUGCAUCCAACCAUAAAAGCACAUGACAACGUCUGCUUCCCUCUACGAAGGGUCUAUCUUUUUCUUGUCUUAUACCUUAUAUAAGAGUCAUGGUGAUCUUCACCUUUCCUUUCUACAUUUUAUCCUUUGGCAAGCACAUUGUGUUGGAAAGAUCCUGACAUAUAUAUCCAAUUGGAUGCAAGUUAGCAUGAAUUAUUAUUGUUGACAUUACCCUUGAGGUAAAAGGUUGGGAGGCAACACUAUAAGCCCCUAUCUUUCUCUGUGUCCGAUUAAAACUCCAUACCCAUAAGUAUUGCGUGAGUGUUAGCAAUUGUGAAAGACUAAAUGAUAGUUGAGUAUGUGGACUUGCUGAAAAGCUCUUAUAUUGACUCUUUCCACUACAAAAAAAUACACUUCCGUGAUGAUACGUGUUUGUCACAGUAGGUCACGUUUUCUGUCAUGCAUGUACAUCCAUGACAAAUUUAUGACAGAAUCAAGAUAGUCAUACCUGUGCUAUCGUAGAAGUGUUCCAUGACAUUGCCAAAAUUAUUAUCACGGAAGUGUCCACAUCCAUGACGAUAAAUCGCGCGUCACAGAAGUGCUUUCGUCAAGGGUGACCAACACGUGGCAUCCACCGUAACGGAACGCUGUUAAGCUAUCGGGUCGGAUUUUGGAUCCGAUAACCCAUUAACAGCCACGACCAAUGCCGAUUUUCCACGUGUAAAAUUCCCAUUGGCUGACGGAUCCACGUGUCAGCUCCGCGUUGGCACAGGUGUCACUCAUCCAACGGUCGAGAUGGGCCUAUGAUAUGUUGACACCUGGACCGGCCCAAAAGUGGCCCACAAAGUUUAAAUGGGCCGGCCCAACCGAAGGCCCAUAAGAUUUAGCGGACCAUAAUGGGCCAGCCCAGCUAAAGGCCCACAAAAUUUAGCGGACCAUAAUGGGCCGGCCCAGCUAAAGGCCCACAUGAUUUUGCAGACCAUAAUGGGCCGGCCCAGCUAAAGGCCCACAAGAUUUUGUGGACCACAAUGGGCCGGCCCAGCUAAAGGCCCACAAGAUUCUGCAGACCAUAAUGGGCCGACCCAGCUAAAGGCCCAACAUUCUCUGUCAAAUCGGCCCAUCAACGGCCUGUCCUAAACUUGUCAUCAACGCGGCCCAUGGUCACUUCUGGCCCGUUAACAGUCCGCUAAGCAAUUGGGCCGAAUUACGGCCCGAUGUAUUUCCGGCCUGUUAAAGGUCCGGCUUCAUUUGGGCCCAUUUACAGGCCAUCAAAACUUUUGGCCCAUAAACGACCGUGAAGGAUUUGGGUCAUAUUCGGCCAUGUCUGACAUUCGGCCUGUUAGAGGCCCACUAUAGCUUUGGGCCACUUUCGGCCUGUUGUCAUUUUCGGCCUGUUAACGCCGUACGUAAACCAUGGGCCAUAUGUGGCCCAACGUCAUAUCGGGCCCAUUAACGGCCCAUAUAAAAAUGACGAUAAUCUAGCCCGAUCGAAGUUCCGGCCUAUUAAAGCCCCGUGUAUUAGGUCGGCGCAUUUACGGCCCGUCCGAAUUUCGGCCUGUCAAAGAUCCGCAUCGUAAAUGGGCCCAAUCUCACUUUCGGUCUAUUAAAGGCCCAUGUUUUUUAUGGGCUCGAGAUAUUUACACCUGUAAACGGCCUAUUUUUACUGAGGGCCCAAAUUAUGUUUAGGCCUGUUAAAGGCCCACUAUGGGCACAGGCCUACCAGAAAAAUAUGAAAGCUUAUGCUGAUUUAGGCCCAGAUAUUUUUAGCGGGCUACAUGCCAAUUUCAGCCCGUAAUCGUUUUUAGCCCAAUUGGAAUGGGCCCGACGAAUGUUGGCAUGUUGGGCUCCUACGAAGCUUUCGGCCGAAUACAUUACUAAGAUAAACCUACACUAUACAAAAAUAGCGUCGUAAUUACUACAGCCUGAGGCAGCAUCAUAAAUGUUGUAUCACAACAAAAUAAAUUCCAACCAUACAACAAAAGGCCUGUUGGCAUAAAGUUUACAGUCCUUCCAGAUAAAAGCACCAUCAUAUGUAUAGAAGCACAGAUCAUUUGACCUGAGUGCUAAUGUUUCAGGCUGUAGAAUCUGAUGGAGCAGCAUGAUCUCCACCAUUUUUCCGCCAUUGCUCUUGAACAACGAAGCGAAUGUCUGAUAGUCUGGUUUCAAAACCAUUCAUAUCUUGACGACAUUUCUCAACCACUAUUCUUGUUUCCCAAACAACAUCCAUUAUGGAUUGGACUUGUGUCUGGAGCGCAGAUAUAUCACUCUGUCUAGCAGGAAGAUUAUGUUCAGUAGGCGAUUUGGACGAGGUUACCUUGACAACCAACCCAGAAUUACGCAGGAAGGUGCUUUUUGCACUGUUAGUGGAGAGAUACUGACGCACUGCAGCAAGAGGUGACAUUGUGCCUGUAGUAGCCUCGUCACCUUCAGGUGGUUGUGGCUGUUCAAUCAUUUGUUCCAUAGCUUCCUGAAAGUUUGAACUUGUAGAUUAGUGUACCAGAUAAGUUACUAAUGAGACAAAAACAAACAAAGUAGGUUAAACGUUUAUACAUAACUUAUUUUGGUGAACUACUGUAAUACAUUAGCAUGUAUUGUAGUGCCAACUACAUAAUAAAAUCACUUUCGGAACAUAUGUCCAUGUAGCAUGCCUACUGUAUUGUCUAUUUCCUCACAUUCGUUGACAUCUAAGGAUAAAGAGACAUGGUUUAAAGUAGGAUGAACAUAGUAUGACAACAUUCAUAUCAUGGGCAAACAGAUAUAAAACAAACAGGCUAUUUUAUCAUUGUGUGCGCACAUGAACAUAACAACUAGAUUACAGAUCAAGACCAAAAGAAUAUCCUUCAUCUCUUUUAAACCAUGUAAGGUGAAAUGAUACGUUAAGACAACUGUGAAUAAAGGUGAACAGAGUAACUGACAUUGGCUGCAAACCAAGUAGUUAAACGAACACAUCACAGUACCAAUUAGUUCAAGGCAGGAGGAGUAAGGACUUACAACAGCGGCUUGAACUGGUGUGCUCAUGCCCUUCAUCUUGUUGGUGUGGCAAUCCUUGAAGAUUUGCAUUGCAUUCGGUUCAGGUUCUUUUUGGUCCGCACGGGCUUUCCUCUGUAUUUGGAACAAGUCAAUAUAGGUACGAUAAUAUGGCACAAAAAAAGAAGGGAGUAGCAGCUAUUUACAAGAGCCUCGCAGUGUGCAAUAUAGCUACGAGAUCCUAUUGUCUGUUGGAAUUUCACUUUAGAACGGUUGGUUUUGUUCUUCAAACAGUUAGCCUAGAAGAAGAUACACUUGUAAGGCACAUACAUAAAUACAAGUUCAAUAUGUGGUCUGAUCAAAUACAUAUAGCCUACCUGAUACUUUGGAUCAGACCAGUGUUUAACGAGGGCUGUCCAGUCUUCAUCUGUAAUAUAUUCCACUGGAGAUGUUUGGGUGAUUUCAUUGUUAGCCUUGCCUUCAAAGUGAGAUUUUCUAAGGUGGUACUGAUACUGUCGCAGAGCAGACUGAAAAACAUGAGUGCAUUCUUGUUUAGUUGCAUCAUCUUUCAGAUCCAACUUGAACCUCAUCUGUUGAAAAAAGAAUGUGAGUCUUAUUAGGAGGAAGCUACAAAGUAUGGGACAGUGCAAGACAAUAUUACUAAUUGCGAUGAAUAACAUUACUUACGGAUAAAUGGUCAAGGAAGGUGUUAAACUGGGUAUUGUCUUUCUCAUUCCUGUACUGGAUCCACGUUGGGAGGAUACGUGCAUGACACCUAACGGCAACGGCUGCCUCUGAUACUAACUUGGCUGACUCUGUAGCAUCAUGUGGCCUUUUAAAACCUGCCUCAAAAUGGAUCUCCAUUCUUCCUCCUUUAGAUUUUGUUAAUCUGUCAAGCAUUAUCCCUGAUGUCUGUUUCCGCUUGUGCCGUGGUGCUAGUUCAACAACGAAUAUGGAAAGUGUUAGUGUACAUCAAACUGUGAGAGUACAUAUAAAGGAGCAUGCAACUGCAACUUGACUCGGUCAGGUGCCGUCUUGGUGUUGAUGCUCAUGAGGUUCAUCUGAUCUUGCCAAGUCCUGUUGUGUCAGCAGUGCUUCGGAAGUAGUGUUAGGUGUGAAGGCAGCUUGGGAACUGGCCAGUUCCGGAGCAAACGAACGAGUAACUGGUUGAGAUGCUGGUACAGUUGAAGCGGAUGCUGCAGCUUGUGGAGCAGGUGAUACUGUGUUUGUAGAUUUAGCCGGUGGACUUGGACCUUCUACUGCACUAUAAGUACCAGCAGAAUCUCGACGGCAGAACCUUUUCCGUUUCACCCGACGAGUAACAGCACUCCCUACUAUAUUAUUUUCCUUGCUCUUUUUUGACUUUGCCAUGUCAAGCUGUACCCACAACACAAAAGAAUAAAAUCACUCUUCAGAACUCAUUGAUGCAUGAUACAGACAAGCAAUACUUUGAUGUAAGACAACCGUAUGAGGAUGGAAUAUGUAAGAAAAACAGGACGGUAUGACAUAUUCACAGCUACGAUGUGCAAACUAAGUAGAAGGAUUUUCAAGAAAAUAGAAGUAAUGCAAGCUAGACACCAUAUGAAAGAUGCAACCAAUAUUACUCUGCCAAGUUAAAAGUGUCUUGUCAUAAGUGGCAAUUCGAAAAAUUAGAAGCAGUACAACAUAGAAAUCAAUGCAAGAUGAAACCACUAUCAAACUGCCAUGUUAAAAGCUUCCAAUCAUGAGUGACUGAUGCGGGAUACACAACAGUAGUACUUUGAUGUAAGAACAUGGUAUGAUAGAUAGAUGCAGUGUAUUCUAGACACAGAAAGCCAUGUCAUAUGCACAUGUAUAACGUAUGAACUCAGCACGUGCAACUUAAUCAAAAUAGAAGAAAUACAGGCUAGACAACAUAUGCAACAUGAAACCAAUUAUCACACUGUCAACUUAGAGCAAGCACCUGCGAUGGUGGAGUAUGGAAGAUGAACUCAUCAUGUAGACUUGGGACUUCAACUUCAUUAGCAGUAGCAGUGGCAAAUCUAGAGAGUCCCUGUUUGCGUCAGUCCGGAGGACCACCAACAUCCCCUAACUUACUAUUUUCCUUCCUAUUUUCUGAUAUUGCCUUAUGAAGUCAAACCACAAGAAGAUGAAUAAAAUUAGCUCUGCAUAACUGGUUGAUGCAUGAUACAGACGAACACUACUUUGAUGUAAGGCAAGCGCAAGAUAGGAGGAUGGAAUAUAUACAAAAAAAGACAGCGUUUCAUAUUCACACGUACGAUAGGAGGAUGGAAUAUGUAUGAAAAACAGUAAGCGGAAGGCAUUUCAACAAAAUUAGAAGAAAUGAAAGCUAGGCACCAUAUGAACAUGCAACCAAUAUCACUCUAUCAGGUAAAAAGUGUCUCGUCGUAAGUGCCAUUUCAAGAAAUUAGAAGCAGUACAAGCUAGAAGACAAUGCAAGAUGCAACCUAUAUCACAGUCCCAAGUUAAAUGUGUCUUAUGGGUAAGUGAUCGUUGCAGGUAUAAGUUGUACGCUGCGCAGAUGCAAUUCAACAUAAUCAGAAGCAAUACAAACUAGACAUCAUACGGAAAACGCAACCACGUAUAAUAGUUCCAAGUAAGAGCAAGCACCUGUGAUGGUGGAGUAGGGGAGAUGUGCUCAUCAUGUACACGUAUGUUCUAGAAACAGGAACAUGUGUCAUAUUCACAGGCAUUAUGUGUAAAGUAAGCAGAUGCAAUUAAAGUUAGAAGCAAUACAAGCUAGACAUCAUACGCAACAUGCAAUGACAUAUAAUAGUGUCAAGUUAGAGCAAGCACCUAUGAUGGUGGAGUAGGGGAGAUGUGCUCAUCAUCUACACAGCUACCUUGACUGUCCAGCCUUGUGUUGUCUUGCGAAUCUUGUUGGGAGGAUGGCGGAGUAGAAUCUGUAGAGACCCCCUGUUUGAGUUGCUCCGAAGGACCACCAUCAUCCACUGCCGGACUAAUUUCCUUCAGCUGUAAUGAUUUUGCAUUGUGAAGUCAAACCGAUAAGAAAAAGGAAUAUGAUUCGCUCUUCAGAACUCAUUCAUGCAUGAUACUGACGAACACUACUCGGAUGAAAGGCAAACACAUGAUGCGAGGAUGGAAUAUGUAUGAAAAACAGGACGGUGUGACAUAUUCACACCUAUGAUGUGGUAACUAAGCAGAAGGCAUUUCAACAAAUUAGAAGCACUGCAAGCUAGACACCAUAUGAAAGAUGCAACCAAUAUCACUCUGCCAAGUUUAAACUGUAUGGCGUUUCAACAAAUUAGAAGCAGUACAUGCUAGAAAUCAUAUGCAAGACACAACCAAUAUCACAGCGGCGACUUAAAUGUGCCUUAUCAUAAGUGACUGAUGCGGGAUAUGCAAGAAUAGUAGUCUGAUGUAGAAACAGGAACACAUGUCAUAUUCACAGGCAUUAUGAGUAAAGUAAGCAGAUGCAAUUCAACAAAGUUAGAAGCAAUACAAGCUAGACAUCAUAUGCAAUAUGCAACCACAUAUAAUUGUGCCAAGUUAGAGCAAGCACCUGUGAUGGUGGAGUAGGGGAGAUGUGCUCAUCAUCUACACAGCUAUGUUGACUGUCUAGCCUUGCGUUGUUUUGCGAAUCUUGUUGGGAGGAUGGUGGAGUAGAAUCUGUAGAGAACCUCCGUUUCAGUUGCUCGGAAGGACCACCAUCAUCCAAUUCCUUGCCAAUUUCCUUCACCUUUAUUGAUUUUGCAUUGUGAGGUCAUACCGACAAGAAAAAGGAAUAUCAUUCGCUCUUCAGAACUCAUUCAUGCAUGAUACUGAUGAACACUACUCUGAUGAAAGGCAAAGUCAUGAUACGAGGAUGGAAUAUGUACGAAAAAAUGGACGGCUUGACAUAUUCACACCUAUGAUGUGGUAACUAAGCAGAAGGCACUUCAACAAAUUAGAAACACUGCAAGACACCAUGUGGAAGGUGCAAUCAAUAUCACUCUGCCAAGUUAAAACUGUCUCGUCAUAGGUGGCGUUCAUCAAACUAGAAGCAAUACAUGCUAGAAAUCAUAUUCAAGACGCAAACCAAUAUCACACUGCCAACUUAAAGGUGUCCCAUCAUAAGUGACUGAUGCAGGAUACACAAGAAGAGUAGUUUCAUGUAAGAACAUGGUGUGAUAGACAGAUAUAGUAUGUACCAAAAACAGGAAAGCGUGUCAUAUUCACAUGUAUCAUGUGUAAGCUAAGCAGAUGCAGUUUACACUAAUUAGGAGCAAUACGAGCUAGACACCAUAUGCAACAUGCAACCAGAUAUCACACUGCCAAGUUAGAGCAAGCACCUUGGAUGGUGGAGUAGGGGAGCGGAGACUUGGACCUUGUAAUUCACUAUCAGUACAAGGAGAAUCGGUACAGAUGCUCCGUUUACGUUCCUGCAGAGGACCACCAUCAUCGCCUUCCUUACUCUUUUCCUUCCUCUUUCUUGAUUUUGCCUUGUCAAGUCAAACCCACAAGAAAAAGGAAUAAAAUUUGCUCUUCAGAACUCAUUGAUGCAUGAUACGGACGAACACUACUUUCAUGUAAGGCAGCCGCAUGAUAGUAGGAUGGAAUAUGUAUGAAAAACAGGACGGCGUGACAUAUUGACAUGUAUGAUGUAUAAAGUGUAAACUAAGCACAAGGUGCUUGAACUUGUUAGAAUCGAUGCAAGCUACAAACCAUAUGAAAGAUGAAACCAAUAUCACUCUGCCAAAUUAAAAGGGUGCCCUAACAAAUGUAUUUGACCAAAUUAGAAGCAAUACAUGGCAACAGGCUAGAAAUAAUAUGCAAUAUGCAACGAAUAAAGGUGACUCAUCGUAAGUGAUUGAUGCAGGAUGCAGAAGAGAGGUAGUUUCAUGUAAGAACAAGGUUAACACAUAGAUGUAGUGUGUACCAAAAAUAGGAAGGCAUGUCAUAUUCACAGGUAUAGUGUGUAAACUAAGCAGAUUCAAUUUACCCUAAUUAGAAGCAUUACAAGCUAGACACCGUAUGCAACAUGCAACCACAUAUCACACUGCGAAGUUAGAGCAAGCACCUGUGAUGGUGGUGUACGGGAAGUGCGGUCUUCAGGUACAGAGCUACGUUCAAUAUCUUCAUUUAGGCUUGCUGUUUCUUGAGAAUCAUGUGGAGAGGAUGAAAUUGCAUUCUUUAUAAGAGUAUUGCGUCUCAUAUUAACCCAUGCGCGUGACUGUCUCAUCAUAAGUGAUAGACGCAGGAUACACAAGAACAGUAGUUUGAUGUAAGAACAUGGUGUGAUAGGCAGAUGUAGUAUGUACCAAAAACAGGAAGGCGUGUCAUAUUCACAUGUAUAAUGUGUAAGCUAAGGAGAUGCAAUUUAACAAAUUAGGAGCAUUGAUGAGGGAUGCACAAGAAAAGUAGUUUGAUGUAAGAACAUGGUUAAUAGAAAGACGUAGUAUGUACCAAAAACAGGAAGGCAUGUCAUAUUCACAGGUAUAAUGUGUUAACUAAGCAGAUGCAAUUUACCCUAAUUAGAAGCAUUACAAGGUAGACACCAUAUGCAACAUGCAACCACAUAUCACACUGCCAAGUAAGAGCAAGCACCUGCGAUGGUGGUGUGGGGGAAUUGCGGUGAUCAACUAGAGAGCUACGUUGACUAUCUUCAUUUAGCCUUGCUGUUUCUUGAGAAUCAUGUGGGGAGGAUGACACUGCACUCUUUAAACGAGUAGGGCGUCUCACAGUAACCCACUCGGGUGACUGUCUCAUCAUAAGUGAUUGACGAGGGAUACAAAAGAGCAUUAGUUUGAUGUACGAACAUGGUUAAUAGACAUAUGUAGUAUGUAUCAAAAACAGGAAGGCAUGUCAUUAUCAAAGGUAUAAUGUGUAAAGUAAGCAGAUGCAAUUUAACCAAAUUGGAAGCAAUACAAGCUAGACACCAUAUGCAACAUGCAACCACAUUUGACAGCGCGAAGUUAAAGCAAGCACCUGGGAUGGUUGUGUGUGGCAAUUGAGAUCAUCAACUGCAGAGCUACGUUUACUGUCUCCAACUGCUGACACUGCACCCAUUAGAGCGCUGAAACGCUUAGUGCUUAUCUUCGAAUUACACUGGAGCGACUUCCGUCUUUUCUUUUCUGCAUUCAUCAACACUGCGUCAGAGUCUGAAAUACCCAUGCAUAAAAAAACAAUAGUGUGAGUAUGGGUGAAGUGUGUGUACAAUUAGUACAGUGUAAAGGUAGGAGAUAGCAGGUCGGUGACAAAUAAAUGACGGGAGACAUAUGAUAGCUCUACAACAUGCAUGGCACACUAAAUUACUGUAGGAUUCUAUGAAAAUAACAGUCGACUGAAAGCAAAUAGGUCAGUCCAUUUUUUCUGCACCGUCCGAUGUACAAAGAACGGGCAGAUCGCCUUCAUCUACCUCCAGCCAGUCAGUGUUGACGAUCUUCCUCGAAAUGCCAGCGACCACCGGGCCAGUAUUCCUCCCCUGCCUGCGCCCUCCCCUCGACCUCACCGCACCGCUGUGCUUGGCACCGCCCCCCGGCCAUCCAUUGAAGCCCCGCCGACCUCCAGAUCGGGCGCAAGCAGCUCCUGCACCCCACACCCCUAUGAUAGACACCGAUGCGCCGCUUCCCCGGGGAACAGGCGGACUAGGUGCUCCGCGCGCCUAAGCGGGUGCUGCUUAUUUUAAUUGCGGUUCGACUGACCCUGAAUUGAAAUCCAGGCGGGCUACUGACCUCUAGGAAAGGUGAAAUAUUAAAAGGGAGGAAACCUUGUGCAUUUAGUAUCACGAAGAAGAUGCAGUAAGAAGCGCUCAACUGGUUUCUUUCGUGGGAUGAAUACGGUGUGAGCGGAGACGUAAGAUUUGCACGAAUAAGGGACGAUGAGUACCUCUUUCUGCUGGCAGUGUUGUGUCCUCCUUCUCUUUUUCCGAUGAUCUUCUUGUUGUUCGCCGGAAACCAGAAGUUGUGGAGGACGGUGCAGCCUUGGACGAACCCAUGGCCAAGUUGUUGAGUGUGGUGCGGUGGCCGUCUGUCGGCGCCGGGGAACAGCUCCGGUGUGGUGGACGGUUGCGAUAGUGGAGCCGCAACAGUGAGGCGCAGGACGGCGUGGUCGGAGUUAUGGGGUGGAGGACGGAGGAGGCUGGGGUUUCGUUGCUGGUGGAGAGGGCGUUUUCGCGCCCACGGAGUAUGAAUGGGGAAACGGAGGGAGGCGGGGAACUAAGGGGGAACAAUCUUUCGGUUUGAGACUAGCUUGUUUGAAAUUUGGGGAAAGUUACAAACUUUGCCCCCAUCUAAAAUUUCGGACAAAUUGCGGGUUGGGGUUAGGACAGUCAUGUCAGGUGUCCCAAAUGCGGGCGGGAUAGAUUUCGGCCGAGCGCAUGGGUAGGCGCCCACGGCGUAUGAAUGCUUCUCGGAGGCAGUUGUGACUGGCGUCUUGGUGAAGUUACAAACCUACCCCGGUUUAGACCUUUGGACAUCGGGCCGAUAGGCUACACGGGCCAGAGUCAGGACAGUAAUUUCCUACCACCAAAACAUUAGUCUCGCGCGGUUUCGGGUGACCAGAGGCCUAUUUGGCGCUUCAUUCAAUAUUUGGUUGCAGAAGCAUUAACCUUUUCGGUUCUCUUGAAUUGAACUUUCAGGAUUUGUCAAACUUCACAAAUCUUUACUCUUGAAAAUCCUAAAGCUACGAUUAUUUUGGAAUGGAGGGGGUACAUUUGAAUAUACAUUGUACACGAGUAUAUAUUAAAAAAUAUGCAACUUACCUCAGUUCAUGCAUGGUUCCAGAUAUAAUCUCCUCGGUUGCAAAAAAAAGAGUUAGAUAUGCGUAUGAAUAUAUAUAGCAUGUUCAAACUCACAACAAAGAUUGAUGCCCCCUUUUACAUCUGAUUUACAAAUGCCAUUAUCUCGGGUUCAAAUAGAUGAAUUCACUUCCAAUGAAUUCGAAUCUUCGAAACCCCCUUUAUGUUGAAUUCGACAUGUAUUCUAUUUCGUAGCUAGCAAUUUGGAAUGUAUCCAUGCAAGUGACAAAUGUAUAAAGUGCUUCACACUAACACAUGGAGUGCACUAAUUAAUGUUUAUAUAUGAAUUGCAAAAGCAUCCAUUGCCUGUAUUUCAAACCGCUCUCACUCUAUGGAUCGAUAAUAUAAAAUAAACACAUGCACAUGCUAGAAUUCAAUAGAGUAUGGGUGUCUGAUAGACCGAUUUUCGUCCAUAUGCAAUUUGCAAAAUUCAUGAUCUCAUCCAAAAAUAAUAAUGCCAUUUAUAUUUUAAUUUAAUGCGUAGAACCGCCUUUUACACGUAGAUGCACUAUGCCUCGCCCCGUUCUCACAAACGCGUUAUAUAUCUCUCUAUCUAACGCGUAAGUGCACACACUUUAUAUGCAUCGGCAUUUCUCUUUCACACAUGCUCACAAUCUCUCUCAGGGUGUCGGGGUGUCUCAUGCACAUGCUCUCUCUGUUUCUCUCUCUCUCUCUCUCUUUCUGACUACUAUGUACCACUCUUUUCACUAAUCUCAGUUGGAAAACACUAUUUCUCUCACAUGCAUAUAUACACAUGCACGGUCUCUACUAGCCCUCUAUACGCACAUAUAUGUGCCUACGUGUCUCCCGCACGCACAUUAUCUUUAGGCCUCUCUCGCACACAUUGCCCCCCCUGACACACCUCUCUCUUAGUAGUUGGCAGAUAUGAUUUCAUCAUAUCAUUCGGUAGGAUACCCCUGGCUGUUAGGCUGGAUGGUAAUACGAGGCAAAGUUUUACCCUAGUUCGGAUCGGACCCUUGUAGUUGAAGAAAGAGCCUACUCCUGGUACUGUAUAUUAGUGAUAGGGGUGUGUACAAAGUACAUGUGAAUACCAGGCAUUGUGCGUGUGUGUAUACUAUCGACGAACUAGCCCCCAAGCUUGUAUAACAUACUAAGGGCCUAGGGUUACAAAUCAUAUAUAGUCGGCUUAUCACCAGUGGGGAUAGAGUCCUCCGCGACUCUGGUAGCUUCGUGUUGUACGCCGAGUCCUCCACAUGGGUCUUCGUAUAACACGUCUCGGUCCAACCUAUAUGUGGCGCAGGAUGGAACCGACCCAUGAGUCUUCAUGUUGACCCACCACAACUAGAAAUUAUGUGCCCACCACACCACACACGCAAUCGGCCACUAAGAAAAUAAGCAUAUACAAUAGUACAACUGUAUCUAGCUCACGAUACGUCUCCAUAUUUUGUUGUUGACACUGACGGACUUUGCAUUUGAUGCGUGCUCCGUAUUUUGUUGACAACACUUACGGUCAUUGUAUUUGAAGCGAAAGCACGAUAUGGUCACUGGACUUCAGAAUAAGCUCAUCACGGUCACCACAUACAUUUUGUCGUGCUAACCAACAUGUGGUUGGAUGGUUAGAGGACAGUGGUUUCUCGAGCCCACCAAGGUUAAAGUCCCGGUGCUCGCAUUUAUCUUGUGUUAAUUUCAGUAUUUUCCGGCAAUGUACGUUCAGUGGGAGGAGACGUUCCACUCGACUACGAGGCACCUAUGGUGACUUCGUAAAAUCUCAAGAUCAUAUAUGCUGGCCCACUCUCUCGAAGGUGCUCAUAGGGGUAGGGUUCGCGUGUGUGCGCUUAUAGCGGUGAGUGCUUGCGCGUAUAUAUGAGCCCUUGCGUCUGUACCGUGUUAAACAAAUACUACAUAUCAUGAUUAUACGGUCACUGGCUCACCCGUACAACUCCGUAUUUUGUUGAUGACACAAUCAAUUGACCAGUCAAACGUUCCACGCGGCGCAACUAGUGUUGCACCAUCGGGGCGCGUAACCGUGGGGCCCACCUGUCAGCCCGUAUAUGAAAGAAAGAAAUGGUAGUUUGAGUCUGUACUGUGUUAAUAAAAUAGGAGUACAUUUUAGGGUGAUCAUACGGUCACUGGCUCACCAUACAGCUCCGUAAUUUGUUGAUAACACGAUCAAUUGACCAGUCAAACGGUCCACAUUCAGCAGCGCACAUUACCAUAGGGCCCACCCGUCAGCGCGUAUAUGAAGGACAGAAAUGGUAAUAAAUUAGUGGUCGGUGGGUAUUCGAAGUCGUGAGACCUCUGGUUGGCAGUCANNNNNNNNNNNNNNNNNNNNNNNNNNNNNNNNNNNNNNNNNNNNNNNNNNNNNNNNNNNNNNNNNNNNNNNNNNNNNNNNNNNNNNNNNNNNNNNNNNNNNNNNNNNNNNNNNNNNNNNNNNNNNNNNNNNNNNNNNNNNNNNNNNNNNNNNNNNNNNNNNNNNNNNNNNNNNNNNNNNNNNNNNNNNNNNNNNNNNNNNNNNNNNNNNNNNNNNNNNNNNNNNNNNNNNNNNNNNNNNNNNNNNNNNNNNNNNNNNNNNNNNNNNNNNNNNNNNNNNNNNNNNNNNNNNNNNNNNNNNNNNNNNNNNNNNNNNNNNNNNNNNNNNNNNNNNNNNNNNNNNNNNNNNNNNNNNNNNNNNNNNNNNNNNNNNNNNNNNNNNNNNNNNNNNNNNNNNNNNNNNNNNNNNNNNNNNNNNNNNNNNNNNNNNNNNNNNNNNNNNNNNNNNNNNNNNNNNNNNNNNNNNNNNNNNNNNNNNNNNNNNNNNNNNNNNNNNNNNNNNNNNNNNNNNNNNNNNNNNNNNNNNNNNNNNNNNNCGGUGCGGCGGCGGACCGGCGGUGGGGAGUGGUUUCGGGGAGGGCGGGCCGGCCGCGGGCGGCGGGGGCUGGCGGUUCGGCCGGUGGUGGCUGGCGGCUCAGGGGGGGUGGAGUUUGAUGAUAAACUGGAGGCCCUUGAUUUCGUAUCCAACGGCUGGAAAAUCUAAUCACCAGAGAUGAAAAAGUCAGUCGACUGACGUGUAGCCUCACCCCAGACGUACACAUGCACGCACGCAAGACACGCAUGCAUGUAGGCGUGCAACACUGACACGUACACACGCACGCAUGCUGGCGUGCAACACUGACACGUACACAUGCACUCACGAACACACGCAUGUACACACCCAUGCAUGCAACACUGAAACGUACCCUUGCACGCACGCAACACUCGCACGCCUGCAUGCACACAGCACACGACGCAAGACACACGCUCAACCUAUACGUGCAUGCACCCUUUGUUAAGGACAUGGAUUGUUACGGGUAUUAAUCAAUCUUAUCUGUGAUAAGCAGAACAUUGAUGUUUGCAGCGGUCUUUAUGAAUCACAACGUAUCGAACGGGCUAUCAACAUAGUAGGCUUAUCUACAUGAAAAAGAUGACGUCACACUCAAUGAACAAUCAUCGGUUUAUGAAAUGCCCGCUUCUGACUGCCCUGGCCCACCAAAGGUUCCUCUGCUGUGCGCUGCCUGCUUGGGUCACUGACAUGCAGGCCAUGCACCCAAAGAGCCCACACGUCAGUGGAAGAACGGCGUGGUGUCCUAGGUCAGAGUCGAGGGCGCCACUCACGGCCUGCCCGGCUGAACACGCCUCCGUGCCGCAUUCAAAGGCCUCCAUGAAACCCGCCCGUGUGGAAGCCGAGAAACCCACUCUGGACACGCGUCCGUUCAUGACCGGGCCGGUGUUAAACGCAACGCCGGCCGAGCUCCUCCCGUCCGCCGUCUAUUUAAUCUCCUAUUUAAACGAGGCCAAACGCCGGCCAAGAAUCGCACACCUCCGCCGCUCCCCUAUCUCCUCCACCAUUUUGUCCACUCUUACAAUGGCUUACGAAGAGUAGUUAUUCCGCAUCCAAGACGGCAGGGUAGCCCGCCGGAUACGAGCUAUGCAGCUCGCUGAUCCACCUCCCUCCCCUCGCCCGACGGAGCCAGUUGCUGCCCCAAGCCGGCGCGCGGUUCAGCAACUCGCCGCUCCAGGCCAGCUCGACGAGGAGCGGCACACGGGCGUCGUUGCUGCCGUCCACGCCGCCGCCUCGUACCGCGUCUCCCGUUUUUGUGGCCGAGACUCCCAUGCCGGCGGCUGCGCCAUGCAAGCAGCGACAGAAGCCGGGUGCGCGGAGAGCGACGAGUCGGUGGCCAGCGCCUCCGCGUCCGCCGCCAUCAUCGAGGAGAAGUAGAACACGGGAGGCCGCCGCCGCUUGGGUCCCAUGAAGGCCACCGCGGAGGCGACGCCGGCGUACACAGCGGGUGUCUUGCCGGAUCCUUUUGUUGCGAGGACCUUCGUCGACCCCGCAUGGGCUCCACGGAAGAGAGGAAUGUUAGGAUGAACUCGAGCCGGUGCCGGCCAUGGCGAAGUAGUGGCCGGUGAUGAACUCGAACCGGUGCCGGCCACCAUCAUCUUCGGCACCAGCCAAUGAUAUCAGUUGGGCAGUGGGGAAGCGAGCCGUCCUUUGCGCUGAAGCAUAUACCUCCGGGGCUCCCGGCAGUCCGGUGAUCGUGCUGCCGGACAUGAGGAACACAAAUCGAUCGGCGGGCGACCAUUUAGGCCAGGUAUUAUGUAUCUGUGCUGUCCAGAACUAGCACCGCGUAGUUCAUUUGAAUGUAAUGAAAUCCGUCAUGUUUGUAUGAAAAUCCGGUAUUUUAUAUGAUUUCCAUCGUUGUUUAUAUGAAAUAUCAGUUUGUCUACGUGUUUGCGUGAAUUUCGUCCGGUUGGUUGAGUUGCUGUCAUAAUGUGUGCGGCUACGGUUGGAUGGCGUAAUUUGCGGGUCGCCGGUCGGUUUGCGGGCGGCUCGGGCGGCGUUGUGGGACAAAAAAAACACAGCUCGUGCGAGCUCGUCUCCAACGUGCGCGCUGGAGGAUGCAUGACAGCAUGAGCACCCGAGCCAUUCCUCGUUCAUCGGUGGCAAAGGCACCGGUGGACAAAAGGGUCGCCAAUAUUUUGGCUACCCCGGGCAAGAUCCAAACAGCCCCUCCCAACAGAUUCAAAUCCCUCGUUCGCCGUGGAAUUUUGCCAUGUGUUGUUUUCAUGGACUAGCAAGAUGCCCGUGCAUUGCACGGAACAUCAAGAUGCAUUUUUUUACAAACUCCCGCAUGCAUGCAAGGGAUAAUUAAUGUCCUCCUUUGCUAGUACCACGAGGCAAACACCAUUAAUAUUGCAUCGAUUAGUGUUAGUGGCCUUGUAUAUCUGCAAAUUGUAAUUUUGAUAGUGGCCCCUUGUAUAUAAAAAUGGAGGGAGAAAGAUGAGAGAUAAGGUGAGGAGGAGUGGGGCGUGGUGGUGACUGGUGGUCGGACUGGGCGGAGGCAUGGGGAUGUACGGCGCAUUAUGUCUAGGUUUGUAUCUCUCUCACACACACUCACGUAGGUGGGGGACGUGCACGAAGAGAAGAGGUGCACGCACGGCGCACGUACUCCCGUCUCUUUCCCAACCACACCCGCGCGGGUACACGGUGGAGCUCAUUUCUGUACGAAAAAGGCAGCCCACGUGGUUAUUUGGCACGUGUAUUGGUUGUCCACUUGGUGGAGGGAGGAUCGUCUACCACGGUGAACAAACAAAUUGCGACUUGACGCGUUAUGUUAAAUUAAAAAAAGAGGCAAACCAUGUGGGGCCUACCUUAGAGGCAAGGCUCUAUACACUGGAGUACUUUUGAUGUGUCCCGUCAACUCGCAGAACGAGGAGAAGCUUGCUUAGUACGCCGUCUCCCCCGCCCACGGGCGCGGUGGCUCGCAGGAUGAGGUGAAGCUUGCUUACGAGUAGUAGUAGUAGUACUACUACUACUGUACGCCUUUACGCCCGCUCCCUCGCCCACGCGCACGGUGGCUCGCAGCACGAGGAGAAAAUUUUACUACUCCCUCCGUUUACUCCUCGUCCCUACUACGUACUUUGGUUAGUACUCCCUCCAUUUACUUAUACAAGGCCACUAUAAAAAAAUACAUUUUGCAUCUAUACAAGGCCACAAAUAGUAAUCGAGACAAAAGUUACUACUCCCUCCUUUCCAGUUUAUGGCUCAAUUUCAAAAUCUCUCCAACCAAGGUAGACGGUGAGUGGUCGAAUUAAUUUCGUAGUUUGCACAAGUAAUUAGUACGCUCAUUUUUCUCAAGUAGUUAUGUUUACCGAGGCAUUAAUUAGAACGAAUGCAUGAAUGACCACUAAAUUUCCAUGAACUUGUACAUGCAUUGGUUAGUUUCCUCUUGACACUGCUUGCGUCGGGUGAUCUAACGCACCUCGAAAUCCAACAUCUAAUGGUACUACUACUAGUAUAGUAGGAUUGAGACUUAUCAAACGGAAAAACGAAUGUUUUUUAGAUGAGCCCUAUAAACCCUAGUGGGUACGUACUCCGUAAAAACAGAUUUUUCCAAAACUAAGUCGCUCCCUUUCAUGAAUUCUGUAGUAUACUCCUCCGUCGACGCUCCCUUUCAUGAAUUCUGUACUUCCUGUCGCCGACAUGUGGGACAUAUAGCAACCGGGUCGACGUGUCAAGCACCAAAUAACAGUGCAGAACAGCAGGGGGGACGCACCCCACUCGUACCGGCCCAGUAGUAGUAAUGAGCAAUGAGACGUCAAAUCACAAUGCCGCACCUUCCCAGAUGGACGAAGCAACCAUUAUUUCACACUUCAGUUCGCCAUCAUCUCAAACCACGUAGUAUUGCUUCUGCCUCAAGAGGGACACGCGCAUCGCCUUGGUACAUCAUGACACGUGGGACCGCAUGACAGGCCAUCUCCCCCGCCGAUCGCUCAGUAAAAUCACCUCAUUUUUACUAUACUUCCUCCGUAUCGGUUUACUACAUGGCAUGCACGUCGUUCUAGGUUGAGAAUUUAAUUGGCUAUAUAUGUGAUGAACAGUACUCUAGCCUUUUAAAAAAUGUAUACUUUUGUGCAGUAGUACUAUCGAUGGAUUGCGCCAUGGAGCAAAAAUUGAAAUUAAAAAAAAAGGCGGUACAUAUAGUGAGCGCUCGUCGCCAAAUUAUGCAUAUAGUACUAUUAAAAAAGCUAGUACGUGCUUAAUUGGGGUGCUAAAUUCUAUUAAAGAAAUACUAGUAGUAUGUACAUACUGAAGAGUUAAAGUAACGAGAAGAAACAUAACAUAGUUCUGCUGGGGGCUCAGCACAACACACCCCUCAAAUUAAACUAAGCACACCUGAAAUUAAACUAUGCAACUAAUCCGGUAGACACUGCAUUAGAAGUUUAGAACCACCAUGAGCAACGACACUGCCACCUUACUCGGAGUCCUCAUCCACGUCCUCGACUUCGUCCUUGUCCCUCUUCCUCUUGGUCGAUACUUCUUUGCUUGAACCGCACACUUGGAUGUUGCUCUUCAUCCAACCCUUGUAGAUAUUGAAACAAAGGUAGCCAUCCAUUGGAGUGUAGUGGAUGUGGUCUAUAUCUAGUACAUUCCGCUGCCAUGCAUGACGAUGAAACGUGUAAUGAGGUUUCUCCAGUUUACGGUACGAAGGAUGAACCAUGGCUCCUACCAGGGUCAGCAUUGAAGGCUGACGAGAGGGCACCAGCCGAUUCUUCUGGAGGUCGAAGGGGUUGCCUACAACGAGGCCUAUCCGACCUAGGACUUCUUUGUCGUUCUUAAAGUCUACAGUAACUAAUUUCACUGUUUUGUCCUUGAGGAAGUUCUUAAAAUCCUGGCACUCAACGUCGGCACGACAUAUGUGGUAGACCAAGCAAACGUUAUGUACGCAAACCUGGAUCACGGCGGGCUUCUUCCUUUCUUCGUCCUUUAGAUCAUUCUCUCGUCCCAGGACUGUGGUGUACUCAACAUGUAGCCCAGCGACCCACUCAUCAUCUGAGUUUUCGAACAUGCAUCUGAAGAGAGAAAGGCAUCCUUUCACCGUCGCGGAAGAACGGGUGUAGAUGACGUCGAACUCAUCGCCGGUGAUGGUUCUAACCUUGUACUCACCGCCGAUCGUGGAGAUUUGGGAUGCCAUGGAUUUGGGAGGAGUGUUAGGAUUAGUGGCUGCCAUAAUGUGAAUGGACGGGACGACUAGGAGCGAACCGCCGUAGUAUUGAAGGACGUGCAGGGACGAGUAGGAGCGAACUGCCAGCGUGCGAACGGCAGGGUAGUGGCUUUCCAUUCUCCCAUGAUACGGGCUUCCGAGAGCCCUUGGAUCUAGGAUCGAACGGUUGCAUGGCGUGAUUCUAGACCUAUGGGUGAAUAUCCUAUCCUGGAGGGUUAUUCUGCAAAUUUUCAGCAACUUAGCAUGCGACCGUUUGAUCUCAGAUCCAAGGGCUGCCAGCAGCCCGUAUCAUGGUCGCGCCUACCACGACCGUCGCGUCGCUCGCGCGGUCGCACCCUUGGAGAUUUAACACGAUGUGUUAGGCUAUCUGAUGUUGGCAUGUCAUACAUAGUCAUCACUUAGUCACUCAUACUACAACAAGGUUGGCUAUAAGGUUGGCUAUAAGUGUAUUUUUUUACUCCUCUCUAUCUCUUUCUUCGUACUCCCUGUGUCCCAUAAUAUAAGAACGUUUUUGACACUAGUGUAGUGCCAAAAACGUUCUUAUAUUAUGGGACACAGGGAGUACUAGUAUUUAUUGCAUUUGCCAAGGAGUGACCUCUUCCAAUGAAAUGGUGUUGCUAAGUUUGCUUCAUUUAAUUAGCUAUAGACUCAAAAUUGUCUUUUCACCUAGGUACACGCGCUUAGCACCGUUUCUUCCUUGGGUCACCAAACUAGUCUCUCUCUUCUGGAUUAACUUGCCACAUCAGACUUUAUGCCUAUGUGGCAAGCUUAAGCACCUGUAGGAGCAAGUAAAAAUAAGUACAAUAGUGCGCUUUACAUGGAAUUUUUGCAUAUGUGGAGGAAAGAGAGGCAAGGAAAAAGUGGAGAAGUGGGCUCUCAUGCAAGAGCCAGCCUCUACUACAUGGUGGAGCAUUGGGAGAGGCACCUGUAUGGAGGUGGUCAGGAAUCAAGAGACUCACGCCGGUCGUAGCACCGUAGUUGAAAUGAUAAUGGCAAGUCAAAUCACGGGGCCCCACCUGUCCAGCAGUAACUCGCUGUCAAAUCACAUAGCCCUACGUUUGCAGCAGCCUACUCCCUCGUCUUCUCGCGUCUCUGUCGAACCGACUAGGCAGAACUGCCCCGCCUACCGCGCAGGAAAAGCCCCGCCCUCGACUUUUAUAUACAACUACAUCCGCUUAAGAAUCCAAUGAUAUACUUUUUGUGACAUAGUAACUCAUAUUUAGUUAGUCAAAUGGAUGACCUAGAACUACGUGUAGGCCCUAUAAACUGAGACGCCUAAAAAUAAAAAACCAAGACAGAGAGGGUAGUCCAGCACGUAUCUUUUUAGAUCAAUAUAGUCGGGAUUCACCAAGGAGCAAAACCAAGUGGCAGGCUGCUCCUGUCGUGUUGGCGUAGCAACUCAAGCAGGGUCAGUUCGCACACGAAAUGGCGACACACUUAACAGGACCCCUUUGGCCGACAAGUGGCUCAUCCACCAUCUUGUUCCACGUGCGAUGCACCAAAAUACAGUUCGGAGCAGCGGUUGGAAUUGGAGGCACCCCGGUCGUAGCGCCGCAGUAGUAGAAAAUGAGCGAUGAGGGGUCAAAUCACAAAGCCCCACCUUUCUCGCAUUAAGCUGGACGGACGAAGCAACCAUCAUUUCACUCUAGGGCGCAAGAGAAUAAAGAAAAGAGAAAACAAUGAUGCGUGCGGCAGCUACAUAGGGCACCCUAGGGUAGGGGUCUCCACUACAGAUCCUUUUUUUUGAAAGCGCCUCCACUACAAAUCGGCUUCUCCCUUGUCCUCUUGAAGAAAACCGAUGACGAGUGCGGCGGUAGGGUUUGUAGGAGUACUACGGCAUGCGGGGCCACGUCGUAGUAAACGGGUUCGAGUUGACACCUUAAAUAUGUGUGGGCCGCUUGGUUUUACGGGAACGAGGCAGCAUUUUGGGUUCGGGGACCAGUGGAGAUAUAGUACGUACAAAAAAUUGUGGACGUAGGUUCGACCGAAAGUCAAUGAUGCAUGGGCCCUGCAUUUUGAUAUACCCCGGGCCGCCUGAAAUUUGCUACUCUACUCAAAACUAGUAAGGUACACAUGUAUUGAAUGCAUGAGAUUUCAAAACCAAAUUACGAAUAAAUACACACUAUAGCAUGUAAAGCUUUGAGUCAUAUAUGCAUGAUGUAGAUGUUCGUUUAGUUCUUAUAGUUCAUCUCAUUGAAAAUCAAUUAGUUUUAUAGAAAUGUUAAGAUUCAUGGGGUUGUGCAUUGUAAAUCAUAAAGUAAAAAACAAAUAAUUGGAAUUCAUUUAGAAAAAAAAAUCAAUUAUGAUACAGAAGAUUCUAGAACAAAGGAGAAGUGCUUGUGUUUUCAGGUUUGUGCAUUAUGCUUAAGUUCAACCAUGGAGUCUUCUAAAUUGUGCAUGUGGCAGAUCUGGUGGAAUGUUGAUGAUAUCCAACGGCCAGUAGUGCUCAGAUUUGCCUAUCUCUGCACUGUCGGGUUAGCUUCAUCCAGCAACCAUCUUUCAAAGUUAUUGGCACACUAUAUAGUUCUUGUGCCAUAGUUGCAUGUUUUGGAAAAAGCUACUAGUGGGUUGUACUAUCUAUUUAGGAAUAGAAGAUGUAUACAUGGAAGUUGUAGGGAAAGAGAUGACAUGGAGCAUCUCAAUUCCUAUGAGUAGGGAUUGGAAAAGAGAUGUCAUUUGGUUCACAUCAUAGGAACUUUUCUAUUGAAUCUAGAGAUGACAUGUAUCUCAAUUCCUAUGAGGAGGGACUAUAAAAGAGAUGUAAUUUGGUUCAUAUCAUAGGAACUUUUCUAUUGAAUAUACGCUAAUGUUUAUUUUCCUUUGAAAUUAAGGGAGUAUAGGAAUCCAUUCAUAUGAACCAAGUGGCUCUAAAGCUAUAGAAAUGAUAUCAUGUUUAUUUCCUUUGAAAUGUGGAGUAUAUGAAUCUAUUCCUAUGAACCAAUUGGCUCUAAAGGAAAAAAUCCUAUAAAAAUCAUAUCAUAUAGAAUUCCUAUGAUAUUCCUCGACACUAAAGGAUGCUUGAAAUUGCUGCGGGUGAUACGAUGGUCUUUCUUUGUAGACUCCUCACCCAUCUUUAUAGUUACCUCUCAAAGAUGAAUCAAAUGAUAUAUACAUGGUAUUCUACCUGUGCAAUUUCGUACACGAAAACUCGGUAAAAGUUUGCGAGGUUCGAAUUUUCAAUAAAGCUAUAUGCACUGCAUUUCGGAACGGAGGGAGCAUACGGCAGUUGCUAACACUCACGUGGAAGAUUUGUGUGUAGGAGGAGUGGCUGUUCUGUUAAAUGACAUGGAAAAACUGACACUGUCGGAUGCCGAUCUAACGAUUCUUACGGCAUUCGUCAGGAAAAGGCUUGUGGCGAACGUUUGUCGGAUAAUGAUUUACGGACACAUGCAUUGCAUUGAUACGUGCCCCCCUCUCUCUCACGCACACGCACCCUCACGAGUCACGACUCUCCCGAGUCCUCUCGCAGACUCGCACGUCGCACCCACCGUCUAUCUGCAGGUAGACGUCACGCACAUAUGUGCUCUUCACACCCUACCCUUAGAACUUCUAAAAAACAAAAGACGACGCGCACAUUUUAUUUUAGCUCACACGUCACACACUUAUACUAUUACUCUUGCGGCGAACGUUCUUUGGGCAUAGUAUAUUGUGCUCUCAUGAAGAGAAGCGGUGCACGCAUGCACUCGUUCUCUCACACCCACUCGCGGGUACACGUAUGAGCGCAUUUUUUUGAAGCUGGUACAACAAAAUCACUCCACUAUAUAUAAAAGCAGGAGCCUUAGCGCUUGCUUUACUAGGGUUCCUCUCGUUCACUCUCUCAUGCUCUCCAGAUCUAAGCAACACAUAGGCGGCCCCACUCUCUCUCAGCUCACGGCUGGUCACAAAUCCGGCCGGACAACCUCGACCGGGGUACGGGUGUAGGUGCAUCGUUCACGUUGUCGUCGGCGGCGAGGGAGGAGACCAACGGCUGCUCGUGCGUCCCGAUUGGCGGCCGUGCCGUUCUCUCCGAGAGAGCGCCGGCUCGGGAGGGCCUCCGACCCCUUCUUCCUCCCUGCGGUAUUGUGGCCAAGAUGCGGCCUCCCGACGCCGUCUUUGCCACAAGCCAACGACCCUCAGGUAUAUAUUCCUUCGAAACCCGCCUUGCUCUACUGCCCCAGCUCCCUUCGUGUGGAUCCUUUUCUACUUCCGUCCACUGUUCCAAAGCCACCUAGACUUCUACUAUUAUUAGAAGUAAAGCUAGUUCAUACAGUCGACUCAAAGGGUUGGUUCAAACAGGGAAGAAAGUGGGAAAGCUGUAGCAUGAAUCUAGGACUUGGUUCUAAGAGGAAACGGGGGAAAGUAGUAAUAUUUGGCACUGUUUAAAUAACCGUAUUUCGUAUUUGCGCAAAGAGGGAUGUCUGUCUCCAUAUCGUUUCGGGAUGUUUGUCUCCGUAUCGUUUCUAUCCGCACAAUCAAAAGCACACACCCCAGUUUUAGUAGAACUGCGCAAAAUGAGAUGGCUAUCCCUCGUUGCCGUCAUUUAACCUCCCGUCUUCAAGGUAUCCCUACAUUGGUACUAGAAACUAAGGUAGAAUGAGCAAUGCAAUCUAAAAGAAGCUGAUUCGUAUGUUUUACUUCCUGAUUGCAGUGCAGGGACGAGCGAAAACAACUGCAUCCUAGUCCGGAAUGCACUUUCUACCAGUUCAUCCAUGGACCGAGGACUAGCUGGCACGGCUGCACGGCGGUUUUUUGGACAGGUGCGCGGACAAGAGGCAUUGUGGCAUGCUUAUUUCUGCAAAUAGCGGUGCUUAAAUUUAGUGGAAUGCACAAGCAUUUCAGCUGGUCAGUACACUGCAUGGUUCAGUUCAGCAUUCCAGCUGAGACCACAAUUAUAAUUUGUUAUUCUGGAAUGAGAGAACCUAACCCUGAAUGGUGGCAACAAGAAAAAACUAGAGUGAACUCCAGGAAAUUUAAGCCUGCCGGGAGGCCCUUUGCUCAGAGAAGCCUUGCUUGUUUUUUUCCUGAUUUGUAAACCUUCUCACAACUUUGUCUUUUGCUGUGAACUAGUAUCUGUUUGUUACGUUCUAUGAAUCAUUGAGAUGUAUAAAAUUGCUUAACUUAUGCUUUUCAAGUUUUUUAUGAAGACGAGUUUAAUGUGAGUGUUCCACAUGAGCGCUGGACUAGCGUGGAACAUUUGGAAUUUAUUACAUUGUGGCCUCAAUUGACUGCAUGAACCACUGUAACAAGAUACAUACUUGAUUAUAUGCCAGACAACAGAUUGUUGAUUGUUAGCUGGUCGAUAGCCUAGUGUUGAAGCGAGCCGAGCCAAUGUGCCGUGUUUUGCACAACUGCUUACAAGUGGGGUAGCACCAACAGUGUUUACAAGUACUUAUGUAUACGUCGACGCACGGUUCUCGAAUGAGUGCUCUAUUUCAUCAAAACACACACUGCUCAUAUGAUAAACCGUGACAACUUAUGUCUUACCAUGCCAUAUUCAUGAAAAAACUAGUGAGGACGCAUCUGUUUCGGCUACAAUCACGAUGGUUCUCACAUGAUUCACGGGCACACAAAAGUAGCAGCAGUUCCCAUAGACGGAUUCAAACAGAGUACUAGUCCCAGAGGGGUCGAUAACAGGCAAGGUUCGGAUAAUUAGACACAAUCCAAACUAUUAUUAAAGACUAGUUGGGGCAACUAUUUCAUGCCUCGAUCUAAUUUGGGCUGGACACAAGACGGACCUUGCCAUGAACAUCAUCGAGGACGUCCCGCAGCAGCUCAAUCCUGUGAACCUUCAUGAAGACAACCUUGUGGCCUUGCCACUGAUAAACUUGUUUGUGGAGGCAUGCCACAUCAUCUUCCUGCGUAAGCUUGACAAGAACAGUAUGCCUCACAAACGAAGGAGUAGCUUUGAACUUCUUGUGCUUCAGUGCACCCUGGACAACACGCCUGACAACAGUGAGGCUGGAAUACAACUCUUCAUUGGUAUAACCGCAAAUGGCUUCCAGGAUCCAACAGCCUAAGAACUCUGUUUUCCCAGUGCGUAUAUUCAGGUCGUCCACCUCAUAGCGAGUGACAUGUACAACCACAUAAUCCUUGUCUGCAUCAGGGCUCUAAUUGAAACAGAAACAAAUUCUGAAUUACUUUACAGUAUAAGAAACACAAGUUAUUUAAACCACUAUGUAUAGCAUGGCAUCGAAGCUAAUAAAAUUUUGCAUUAUUAAUCACCACAUACUUCCUUUUCUAAAAAAAUCACCACAUACUUAGAUGAAAAACCACAAUCGAGAUCGGCAAAGAAGGAAAUCAGCUUGGGCAGCUCAGCGGGGAGGGGGGGGGGACACAUCCUCGAAGGGGGAAAACUGCUCCUGCAGUGCCACGGGGGCUGUAAACUCAAACGGGGCAUUGACCAUCUCAAUAGUGGCCGUGAGCGUAUUCGGGGUCAGCUCGGUGGUUGCCUCCAUCUUCUUGGAGCUCUCUGUCUCGUGGGGAUCAGCCUCCCACGUCUGCUCCAAUAUCGGUAGAUCUUUGCCAGGUUCUCCUUGGUCCAUCAUGAAACUGACGAAUACUAGGAGACCACUGACAGGAAAACACAAUCGCAAUGACAAUGAAACAAAAAAGAGAGUGAGGAUCGGUUACUGCUUUGCAAAAGUUCUUUUUUUUCUCUGAACGAAAAUAUACCAACAUCACGGAUCCGCUUACCUUCCCUUCGUUCGGAGAGAAGAACAGUGGCAGAUGCGAGUGUUGCCUUUCUUGAAGACGGUGAGGGAGAAGGGGAUUCAGCGAAGAGUGAAAUGAUGGUUGCUUCGUCCGUCCAACUUAGACCGCGGGGAGGUGGGGUUUUGUGAUACGACGGCUCGUUACUGCCGUGGUACGACCGGGGUGACUCUCCGCCUGCAUACUGCCUUCUAAUUUGGUGGAUGGCAUUUGGGCCCACGCGCUGCAUGGCCCGCAUGCCGGUGAACAAAAGUAUAACGGUAUUCAGUAGAGGGAGACGUUUCAAUGACCUAGGAGGAGCCAGAAGCGGUAGAGUGUCUCCACUGUACUAGUAGUAAUUGUUUUUCUCGGUAGCUGUAGAGUGUCUCCACUGUACUAGUAGUAAUUGUUUCUCUGGGCCCAAGACAAAACAGCCCAUCCACACUAGUAAAUAGUAAAAUCAAUUCAAAAGCCCAUCCACACUGGGUGCUCUUCUUCCUCCUCGCUCCCACCCACCUCACGUCAGCUCGCUCCACUCGUACCCCCAAAUUCCUCACCUCACUCCUACAGAAAACUCCAGCUCCCCUUCUUCCUCACUCCUACAGAAAACCCCCAGCUCCCCUUCUUCCUCACUCCUACAGAAAACCCCCCAGCCCCCCUUCUUCUUCGCUCGCACUACAACUAGGCUCGUCAUUCUUUACUCUGCUCAAAUCCGUGAGCGCGACGCGACGCCCUCGAGGAAAAUGGAGUCGGCUGACCCCAGCGCCAAGAAGAUGAGGCUCCCGCCAGCGGCGACGCCUGUUGUAGAUCCCGCACCCGGCAGCGCGGGGAGAAGCGGCGACCCCGCCCCCACCGGAUCCCAGGAACCCGUAGAAUCUCGGGUGGACCGCAUCAACGAUCUCCCGGACGAUGUCCUUGGGGAGAUCAUCUCGCUUCUCCCCACCAAGGAUUGCUGCCGCACCCAAGUCCUCUCAAUUCGGUGGUGCCCUCUAUGGCGCGCCGUGCCCCUUAAUCUCGACUGUCGUCAGCUAUCUCUCUUCAAUGAUUUUGAAAUCCCCAGAGCCAUCAUCUCCUCCCACCAGGGCUCCGUUCAAAGCCUCUACAUCCCGUCAUGCUACCUGAGCAAGCAUACCAUGCCCUGCACGGUGGACGCCUGGCUGAAAUCCCCUGAAUUCGCAGAACUACAGCUGCUUGACUUCUACUAUUCCCCUGGAAAUCACAUACCACAUACCGAACGCCAUGAACUUGUGCCCUCAGCACUGAUGUCCAUCUCGCGGUUUUCGUCCUCUCUCCACACCGCCACCUUUGCGCUGUGCUACCUACCAGACAAUCUGGUACUAAACCUUCGACUCCCAUUUCUCAAGAAACUUUCACUUGUGCGGGUUCGUAUAUCGGAGGCCUCAUUGCACAUCAUCAUCCACUCCAGUUGCCCUGCGCUGGAGUGCUUGGUGCUUGUUUUCACAGUUAGAAUCGGUUGUCUCCAAAUAAAGUCGCCUAACCUUGUAAGAAUUGGAAUUUCUUUUGACGGAAGGUAGCUCAUCAUCCAAGAUGCCCCUUCACUUCAAAGGUUGAUCCUUGAUUCUAGUUAUUCACCGUUGCAAAUAACCGUCCUCUCUGCGCCUAAACUGGAGACCUUGGGUGUAAUACAUGAUCUCUGUGCUCAUUUCAAUAUGGUGUUUGGCUCCACAGUUCUUCAGGUACUUUAUAUUAUCAUCUACACUUGUAACCAUAAGCUGUAUUUUAAAUUUCUGCGCAUAAUUUAUAUAUCAUCUUGGAGUACACAUUUUGUACUAAUAUUAUGUUCUAUGCUCAAUGAAGAGUUUCUCCAUGGAUGGCCUAUCAAUGGUGUUGGAUUCUGUCAAGAUCUUAUAUAUCCAAAUGAAUAGUUUUGAUCUGAACAAGAUUAUUGGCUUGCUGCAAUGCUUUCCAUGUCUGGAGAAGUUGUAUAUAAAGGUGACAAUUUCACGCACAUUGGAAGCCCGCAUAUAGUGUACUAGAAUUAACCGUUCAGCUGUUGCUCUUUCGACACUCUUCUUUUAGACCUUAACUGUUUUCAAUCUUCAUGUCUAUUUAGGCAACAGGACGCGGUAAGAAAGUUAUAACCAAUCGGUGGAUUCGUAAGCAUCGGGAUUUUCUCACUUCUCAUGAGAUUCGACUGAAGACAAUAACGCUCGAACGAUAUGUAGCCAACCGUGCAAACACCAGAUUUGUCACAUUCUUCCUGCUGAAUGCGAGGUUACUAUUGUCCAUCAGGCUUAAGUUUAUCAGCAGCAUGGUUUUGACGGAUGGGUAUGUCGAAGAGCAAAAAAAGGAGUUUCAGGUGGGCAAAAGAGCUUCUGAACGUGCCGGGCUUCUAUUUACAACAUAUUGUGGUCAUAAUCCAGUAAAUUUUACGACCCAGGAUGUUCAUUCUAUGGACCUGACCGAUCCAUUUGACUGUGACUGCCGAAAACAGUGCUGGAGUUAGAUGUUGUUGCCCUUUUCGAUCUGGUUUUUUUGUAAACCUGAUGAACAAUUAACCCUCGUGCUUUUGUACAGUUUGUAAGCUGGAGUUAGAUGUUCCUGCCCUUUUCAACUCGGCUGUGACUGUCAUAUUUUCUUCGAAACAAGGCAAAUGGCUUGCCAUUCGUUUAAUUUAGAGUGAAAUAUUGUAAUAAAUCCCAACCAAGGGAAAUAACAUCACUCUCGCCGGCUGCUUGAGCUCACUGUGCAUUACAGAAGCCAAGUGAUUAGCCCCCACCAGCACCCACAAACUUAUUUCAAACUAGCACAUCAAAUGGGCUGUAAAUUUUCAUAGGAAAGGCUGCAUGACCAUGACAGAUUUGGAUUCUGACAUUUGGGACCCACGAGGAAAUAGCCUAUCCAAGGUGGUGUCGACUUACUAGCCAGUCAACAAACGAUUCUGCCUACCAGCCGUUGGAUUGACAUCCAACAUCUGUCGUGUAUCUUCUAUCUCUUGUCUUCUUCUUCCUCCAGCCGCCCAAACCAAACCACCCCGUCGGCUCCGCCUGCUCCCGCCUCCCAUGUCUAGCUGCGCCUCCGCCGCCCUACCGUACGUACCCUCCAACGUUGGCCAGUCCCUCCAUCUAUUUCCCCACACGUCCUGUUAUUCUCCGGCGACGUCAGCCCCAACACGCACGCGCGCCCGAACCAGUCAACCCUCGUACUCCCCUCCGCCUGCGACUGGACCGGCGCAUCUUCAACGGCUCCUGUUCGUUCCGUCCGAGGCCUCGCCGUCAUCCUCCGCCUUGCGGCCUUGGUUCGCUGCCGUGCGCAGUGCGCCGCCCUCUUGUGUUGUCAACGUCGUCAACAACCGAGAGGAACAAGGAGAUCACUGUACGUGGAGAGGAUGACAGUAGGGACCCACCAGCGUCAUGGCAGUACGCAAGCAAGUGCCUCUAUUGUACAAGCCCAAAAAUAUGGUUCCUCCUAAUGGUUGGACAUCUGGGGCUCACGCCAUUGUCAACGUAGUCAAUAAACGAGAGAAUUACACUACGAGCGGCUGACACCAGGGACCCAACAAGUCGCGCAGUUUUUUUGAGGAACAAGCAGUUGUUAUUUAUACUAGUUUUAGCGACGGAUCAGGGUAACAACGGGCCUGUGCGGGGGCUAUGGUCCGUCUAGCCAGGGUUUUAUUUAUGUUUACCACAUCAUGAGCCCAGUUGUGUUUUUUUCUUGCUGAAAAUGGCUAGCCCAGUUCUAUUUUGUUUAAAGAAAUACCCAAACAAGGCCUACUUGCUUUAUCGGCCCUGCUGGGCUGCAAAUCUUUCAAGACGAGGAGAGUUUCAUUCGGUUUGCCCAGAAAUGGGCUGUAUAUUAUUAAAACACAUCAAACCAGGAAUUAGUUUCAAUUUUUUUAUUACAAGAUCUUAAAUUCCAUUGAUUUUUAUGCGUGGACAAUUAUUUGGAUUUUAUAUUUAUAUAAAUUAUUUUUCAAAAUAGUUUGAAUGUGAAUCGAUAUUUCUGGAUUAAAAACAGUUGACCGACCGAAAUAUGCAAAAUUUUGUAUACUUUUUAACCGUGGCCACAAUAUGGGGUGUAAUGCUAACAAAAAUAAGAUGGGCUCCAAAAAAAUUCUUAAGAAUUAGCAAAUGGGCUGUACAUUAUAAGAAAUAAUGGCAGAUGGGUUGUAUGCUGUUUUCCACAGAUUUGAGGCUGACUUGUGCGCCUACUACAGGUUGACGCGUAUGCUUUCAUAAAAAAAGGUUGAUGCACACGCAACGCCCUGUCAACUUAGUCAACACACGAGAGCAGUGACUGUUGGAUGUCCAUCCAACGGCUGUCGUGCUUCUUCAAUCUCUGCUCUUCAUGCUCCAGCCGCUCAAACUAGCGCCGGCGAGACUGCCUGCUCCCUCCUCCCGCGGCCGGCUAUGCUGCCGCGCAGGCCUCACGGCCCCACCGUACUCCCAUCGCUGGCCUAGCCAUCCCUCUACUCACCCACACAUGAUGUUAUUCUCCGGUGACGGCAGACGAACCAGUAAACCCUCGUACUCCUCUGCGUGGGAAACAACUGCCGAGUAUUCCCUGGCUCCGUGUCGUUCCCUUCCUAGGCCUCGCCGUCAUCCACCGCCCUGGUGUUCUCGGCGCGGCCUGGUCAACGUGGUCAAUGAACGACAUCCAUCGGAAGUGGACUGUACGUGGAGAGGCUGACAGCUGGGUCCACGGCCGCACGCAAGGAAAUGCCUCCUUAUUACGCGCAAAAUAAUGAUUCCUCCACCUGACAGCUAGGACCCACAGGAAGGGCCUCUGUAUUUCGCGAAAAAAACGUUCCCCCCGCUGACAGGUCGGACCCACCAGUUAUAUCUUCGCACGCAAGGAAGUGCCUCCUUAUUACGCCCAAAAAAAUGAAUACCCCCUGCUAGCUGGGACCCACCAUAUUGUUGGGCUGACUUGUGGGCCUACUAAGUUGACGGGGACGGAGGGCUUUGUCAACUUAGUCAAUACUCCAGUGACCGUAUGAUGUCCAUCCAACGGCCAUAGUGCUUCUUCAACCUCUGGUCUUGUUGCUCCAGCCGCCCAAAGAAGCGCCGGUCGUGCCGCCUGCUCCUGCCUCCCGUGGCCGGCUGUGCUACCGCGGAGGCCUCACUGCCCCCAUACUACUCCCACCACUGGCCAGGCCAUCCCUCCACUCACCCACACCCCCUGUUAUUCUGCGGCGACGGCAGCCUCACACCGCAGCCGAACCAGUGAAUGCUCGUACUCCUCUCCGCGUGGGCAUCCACUGCCGCGUCUUGCCCGGCUCCGCGUCGUCCCCUUCCUAGGCCUCGCCAUCGUCCACCGCCGUGGUGCUCUCGGUGCGGCGUGGUCAAUGUGGUCAACGACCGACUUCCAUCGGAAGAGUACUGUACGUGGAGAGGCUGAUAGCUGGGUCCACGGCCACAUCCCAGUUUUUUUGUGAUUUGCCAAGUAAGUCGCUUUGUCAGGCCUGUUGGGCUGCAAGUCUUUCAAGACGAGGAGAGCUUUCAUUCGGCUGGCCGAGAAAAUAGCCCAUCAGUAAUGAGAAAUGGGCUGUACAUUUUUAAAACACAUCAAACCGGCAAUUAGUUUCAAAUAUCUUUUUUUUUCAUUUCAAGAUUUUAAAUUACAUUAAUUUUUAUGCGUGGAGAAUUUGUUGGAUUUUAUAUUGAUAUACAUUUAUUUUUAAAAUCAGUUUGAAUGUGAGUCGAAAUUUAGGGAUUAAAAACAGUUCGGACCGCACCGAAAUAUGCAAAAUUUCGUAUGAUUUUCUAACCGUGGCCACAAUAUGGGUUGUAAUGCUAACAAAAAGAAUAUGGGCUCCAAAAAAACCCUUAAGAAUUAGCAAAUGGGCUAUAAAUUAUUAGAAAUAAUGGCAGAUGGGCUGUAUGCUGUUUUCCACAGAUUUGAGGCUUUCCUAAAAAAAGGUUGACGCACAAGCACUGAUUGUUGGAUGUCCAUCCAACGGCCGUCGUGCUUCUUCAAUCUCUACUCUUCCUGCUCCAGCCGCUCAAACAAGCGCCGGCGGGACUGCGUGCUCCCUCCUCCCCGCGGCCGGCUGUGCUGCCUCGCAGGCUUCACCGCCCCACCGUACUCCCAUCGCUGGCCUAGACAUCCCUCUACUCACCCACACUUGCUGUUAUUUUCCGGCGAUGGCAGACGAACCAGUAAACCCUCGUACAGUCGUACUCCCCUCCACGUGGGAAACAACUGCCGAGUCUUCCCUGCCUCCGUGUCGUUCCCUUCCUAGGCCUCGCCGUCGUCCACCGCCCUGGUGCUCUCGGCGCGGCCUGGUCAACGUGGUCAACGACAGACAUGCAUCUGAAGUGGACUAUACGUGGAGAGGCCGAUAGCUGGGUCCACGGCCGCACGCAAGGAAAUGCCUCCUUUUUACGUGCAAAAUAAUGAUUCCUCCACCUGACAUCAGGGACCCACCGAAAGGGCCUCUGUAUUUUGCGAAAAAACGUUACCGCCGCUGACAGCUCGGACCCACCAGCUAUAUCUUCGCACGCAAGGAAGUGCGUCCUUAUUACGCACAAAAAAAUGAAUACUCCCCUGCUAGCUGGGACCCACCAUGGUGGGAGGCUGACUUGUGGGCCUACUAAGUUGACUGGGAUGGGGGCCUUUGUCAACUUUAGUCAAUAUGAACGAUUCUAGCUCCAGUGACUGUACGAUGUCCAUCCAACGGCCGUAGUGCUUCUUCAACCUCUGGUCUUCUUUCUCCAGCCGCCCAAAGCAGCGCCGGUCGUGCCGCAUGCUCCUGCCUCCCGUGGCCGGCUGUGCUGCCGUGGAGGCCUCACCGCCCCCUACUAUUCCCACCGCUGGCCAGGCCCUGCGGCGACGGCAGCCUCACACCGCAGCCGAACCAGUGAACCCUCGUACUCCUCUCCGCGCGGGCUUCCACUGCCGCGUCUUCCCCGGCUCCCCGUCGUCCCCUUCCUAGGCCUCGCCGUCGUCCACCGCCCUGGUGCUCUUGGCGCGGCGUGGUCAAUGUGGUCAAGGAACGACUUCCAUCGGACGUGGACUGUACGUGGAGAGGCUGACAGCUGGGUCCACGGCCGCAGCCAGGAAGUGCCUCCUUAUUACGCGGAAAAUAAUGAUUCCUCCACCUGACAGCUGGGACCCACCGAACGGGCCUCUGUAUUUCAUGAAAAAAGCGUUUCCCCCUGACUGCUGGGACCCACCAGCUACAUCUUCGCAUGCAAGUAAGUGCGUCCGGGCAAAAAAAAAAGAUUCGCCCCCCUGACUGCUGGGACCCACCAGCUACAUCUUCGCAGGCAAGGAAGUGCCUGAUAGUCGGGACCCACCUGGUCGAAGCGUACGUAGCAUUUUCAUUCUGGUCGCGAACGUGUACAUACACACUGGUCGAUGUAGAGGCGCGCACAUGUCGUAGUAGAGGCGCGCAUGUAGCAUGUACAUGUACGUACAGCGGCCAGUGUGCAAGAAAGAAAAUACGACCACGUACGUACAUAUGGGCAGGGUCUCGAACGCCUACUCGCGCAUACGUACGGCCAGGGCUCGUGUACAUGGCUGGGUCGGAACGGAGAAACAAUGUCGUCGUCGUGUUCAUGGGGAGCCAACCGGCUGGGUCGGAACGGAAUGCGUCGUCGUGUUCAUCGGGAGGGCUUGGACGGAACAGCCCAUGGAAACGAGGCCUGGCGUACCGCAAAACGGAGGAAACGGCCUUGUGUUCGACCGGCCACGUUUGAAACAGGAUCCUGUUCAUUGGGAGGGGUCUGGCGUACCGCAAAACGGAGGAAACAGACCUCCUAUGGCUGAAACGGGGGUCCCGCUGAUCGGGAGGGGUGUGUUGUACCGCAAAACGGAUGAAACGGACCGCCUACGGUCAAAACAGGGGUCCUGUUCAUCGGGAGGGGUGUGGCGUAUCGCAAAACGGGACUCCACGGGACACUGUUCAUCUCCACCGUCAACCCCCUCCAGCCUCCACGGGCUAAUGUUCAUCCACCGUCGACCUCCUCCAGCCUCCACCUGCGACUGUUCAUCCACGGGCUCCUGUUUAUCUAGCCUCCACCACGCGCUACUCCACCGGCUACUGUUCAACCAGCCCUCUCCACGGGCUCCUGUUCAACCACCCCUCCAUGGGCUACUGUUCAUCCAGACCUCCACCGUCUACUGUUCAUCCUGCCCUCCACGGGGUGGUCCUGUUCAUCCUGCCCUCCACGGGGUCCUGUUCAUCCAGCCCCAACCGGCUCGAUCGAUCGGGGUCCUGUUCAUCCAGAGGCAACACCAAGGGGUCCUGUUCAUCCACCCCCACCGGGAACUGUUCAUCCAAACCCCCCAGCAACGCUCACUGUUCAUCCAGAGGCAGCAUCGAUCGGCUUCAGUUAGCAGCAGUAGUGAAGGAAUCGCUCGAUCGGGUUCAAUUAACAGCCAUCGAUCGAUCGCUCGGGUUCAGUAACGCGUAGCCUGCAGUGCAAUCGUUCGGGUUCAGUUAGAGCCCAAUGCCUCGCUCAGGUUCAGUUAGAGCCAACGCCUCGCACACACGCGCGUACGUGUACGAGAGAAAGGCGCAUCGCGCAUCGCUCGACCCCCGACCUCCCACCGUAACCGGGAACUCCCCGAAAUUUUCCUCGCCCUCGCUUCUACCACGGUUUUUUCCGUCAUGGACGGCCCAAAGAAUGUCAUGCAGCUGCGUCUCCGGCCCGCCUAGGACGAAAAGCCCAUUUUCUGUCAUGAUUUUUUGUCAUAGAAGUAGGAGCCCACCACAUCUAUGAUGAUUCCGGGUUUUGUCACAAUUAUCGUCAUAGAAGUGUCAUAUGUAUGACAGAAAAAAUUUCGUUCGGCCCAAAAUGUCACGGAUGUGUCUUUUUUUGUAGUGUUCCUAUGUUAUGACAAAUUGCAAUUGCUUCAAUGACUGAGAUUAUAGUUUGUUAGUUUUCAAUGAAGUUUCUGACUCAUACUUGACAUUGUGAAUAGAUUGUUACUUGAGGACAAGCGAGGUCUAAGCUUGGGGGAGUUGACACGUUCAUUUUGCAUCAUGCUUUUAUAUCGAUAUUUAUUGCAUUAUGGGCUGUUAUUACACAUUAUGUCACAAUACUUAUGCCUAUUCUCUCUUAUUUUACAAGGUUUACAUGAAGAGGGAGAAUGCCGACAGCUGGAAUUCUGGGCUGGAAAAGGAGCAAAUAUUAGAGACCUAUUCUGCACAGCUCCAAAAGUCCUGAAACUUAACGGAGGCAGUUUUUGGAAUUAAUAAAAAAUACUGCCGAAAGAAUUAACCAGAGGGGACCCACACCCUGGCCACGAGGGUCGGGGGCACGCCCUACCCCCUGGGCGCGCCCCCUGCCUCGUGGGCCCCCUGGCAGGCCUCCGGUGCCCAUCUUCUGCUAUAUGAAGUCUUUCACCCUGGAAAAAAUAAGGAGGAAGCUUUCGGGACGAAACACUGCCGCCACGAGGCGGAACCAAUCUAGGGCUCCGGCGGAGCUAUUCUGCCGGGGAAACAUCCCUCCGGGAGGGGGAAAUCAUCACCAUCGAUCCUCUCAGCGGGAGGGGGUCAAUCUCCAUCAACAUCUUCACCAGGACCAUCUCCUCUCAAACCCUAGUUCAUCUCUUGUAUCCAAUCUUUGUCCCAAAACCUCAGAUUGGUACCUGUGGGUUGCUAGUAGUGUUGAUUACUCCUUGUAGUUGAUGCUAGUUGGUUUAUUUGGUGGAAGAUCAUAUGUUCAGAUCCUUUAUGCAUAUUAAUACCCCUCUGAUUAUGAACAUAAAUAUGAUUUGUGAGUAGUUACAUUUGUUCCUGAGGACAUGGGAGAAGUCUUGCUAUAAGUAGUCAUGUGAAUUUGGUAUUCGUUCGAUAUUUUGAUGAGAUGUAUGUUGUCUUUCCUCUAGCGGUGUUAUGUGAACGUCGACUACAUGACACUUCACCAUUGUUUGGGCCUAGAGGAAGGCAUUGGGAAGUAAUAAGUAGAUGAUGGGUUGCUAGAGUGACAGAAGCUUAAACCCUAGUUUAUGCGUUGCUUCGUAAGGGGCUGAUUUGGAUCCAUAUGUUUCAUGCUAUGGUUAGGUUUACCUUAAUACUUAUUUUGUAGUUGCGGAUGCUUGCAAUAGGGGUUAAUCAUAAGUGGGAUGCUUGUCCAAGGAAGGGCAGUACCCAAGUACCGGUCCACCCACAUAUCAAAUUAUCAAAGUAACAAACGCGAAUCAUAUGAGCGUGAUGAAAACUAGCUUGACGAUAAUUCCCAUGUGUCCUCGGGAGCGUUUUCCUUCAUAUAAGAGUUUGUCCAGGCUUGUCCUUUGCUACAAAAAGGAUUGGGCCACCUUGCUGCACCUUAUUUACUUUCAUUACUUGUUACCCGUUACAAAUUACCUUAUCACAAAACUAUCUGUUACCGAUAAUUUCAGUGCUUGCAGAGAAUACCUUACUGAAAACCCCUUGUCAUUUCCUUCUGCUCCUCAUUGGGUUUGACACUCUUACUUAUCAAAAGGACUACCAUAGAUCCCCUACACUUGUGGGUCAUCAGCAGCUACCGCCGGAGAGCUCUUGGUCCUUCCCCCAAAGAAAGCGUCGUCUGCAUUUGUCAAUUUCCUUCAGCAGUUUCUUGGGGACUCGCAGCGCUGUGAGGGGAAAGGUGGGCGGUGCCGAGAGGACGCAGCGGACAAGUACGCGCCUGCCCGCCAUGGAAAGCAUCCGUCCCUUCCACCCCGCAAGCCGGGCCCGGACACGGUCGAGGAUGAAUUGUAGGUGAACUAGGCGUAGCCGGCCCGUGGUGAGGGGUAGACCUAGGUAUCUAAUUGGGAAGUGGGCGAUCGGACCGCGGAAAGCGUGAAGAACUAGUUCUAGGUCGAUGUUGUUGCAGUGGAUCGGCGUGGCCAUAGAUUUAGCAAGGUUUAUCCGUAGGCCCGAGGUGUUACCGAAGCUAUGGAGGAUGAGCAUCAGGUGGUCAAUUUCCUCCUUGUCAGGGUUUGCAAAAAUUAUAGCGUCGUCGGCGUAUAGGCUCACUCUGAGCUUGAUCUCUCUACCAGGCACCGGCAUGAUCUCGAGCGCCUCCUCAGCGGCUUGGAGAAGGCUGUGGAUGGGGUCGAUCGCAAUUAUGAAGAGGAGAGGGGACAGGGGGUCUCCUUGCCGCAGUCCCCGGCGGUGGGAGAUUUGCACGCCUGGUGACCCGUUGAGGAGGAAGGCCGAGGAUGAGGUGGCGAGGAGUAGCGUGAUCCAAUCCCGCCAGCGUGCACUAAACCCUAGCCUCGUGAGCAGCUCCAGGAGAUACUCACGAGGCUAGGGUUUAGUGCAUGCCAUGCGUGAGGGGAAUCCAUCGCCGUCCUCAUCAUCAACCAUCCUCCAUCACCAAUUCCAUGAUGCUGACCGCCAUGCGUGAGUAAUUCCAUCGUAGGCUUGCCGGACGGUGAUGGGUUGGAUGAGAUUUAUCAAGUAAUCGAGUUAGUUUUGUUAGGGUUUGAUCCCUGGUAUCCACUAUGUUCUGAGAUUGAUGUUGCUAUGACUUUGCUAUGCUUAAUGCUUGUCACUAGGGCCCGAGUGCCAUGAUUUCAGAUUUGAACCUAUUAUGUUUUCAUGAAUAUAUGCGAGUUCUUGAUCCUAUCUUGCAAGUCUAUAGUCACCUACUAUGUGUUAUGAUCCGACAACCCCGAAGUGACAAUAAUCGGGACCACUCCCGGUGAUGACCAUAGCUUGAGGAGUUCAUGUAUUCACUAUGUGUUAAUGCUUUGAUCCGAUAAUCUAUUAAAAGGAGGCCUUAAUAUCCCUCAGUUUCCACUAGGACCCCGCUGCCACGGGAGGGUAGGACAAAAGAUGUCAUGCAAGUUCUUUUCCAUAAGCACGUAUGACUAUAUUCGGAAUACAUGCCUACAUUAUAUUGAUGAAUUGGAGUUAGUUCUGUGUCACCCUAUGUUAUGACUGUUAAUGAUGAACCGCAUCCGGCAUAAUUCUCCAUCACCGAUCCAAUGCCUACGAGCUUUUCACAUAUUGUUCUUCGCUUAUUUACUUUUCCGUUGCUACUCUUACAAUCACUACAAAACCCAAAAAUAUUACUUUUGCUACCGUUACUAUUACUUCCAUACUACUUUGCUACUAAAUACUUUGCUGCAGAUACUAAGUUAUCCAGGUGUGGUUGAAUUGACAACUCAACUGCUAAUACUUGAGAAUAUUCUUUGGCCCCCCUUGUGUCGAAUCAAUAAAUUUGGGUUGAAUACUCUACCCUCGAAAACUGUUGCGAUCCCCUAUACUUGUGGGUUAUCAAGACUAUUUUCUGGCGCCAUUGCCGGGGAGCAUAGAUCUAUUCUUUGAGUCACUUGGGAUUUAUAUCUGCUGGUCACUAUGAAGAACUUGAAAGACGAGAAAACAAAAAUUUAUCCCUCAACUACGAGGGGAGGUAAGGAACUGCCAUCUAGCUCUGCACUUGAUCCACCUUCUGUUUUGAGUAAGCUUGCGACAGCUAAACCUGCUUCUGCUAUUAAUUCUGAUAUGUCGCAUGUUAUUGAUGAUGCCACUUCUGCUAUGCAUGAUACUUAUGAUGAAACUACUUCUAUGCUUGAUACUACUGUGCCACUUGGUGAAUUUCUUGAUGAACAACUUGCUAGGGCUAGAGAGAAUGAAAGUAUUGAAACUGAUAAUAUUGAUGCCUGUUGUGCCUGAGGGCUAUGUUAUGGAUGAAGAAACUAAAAGAGACUUUCUUCCUUGCAAUGAUAGAAGUGAUGAAGAAAUUAUUAGCUAAGCUUAAACAAAAAACUCUGAAUGCUAGAAUGAAAUAUGAUCCUGCUUAUGCUACUUCACCUAUCUUCGUUACUGAUAAUGAUUAUGAAUUCUCUGGUGAUCCUGAUAUAAUUACUUUGGUUGAAUCUGAUCCUUUCUAUGGCUAUGAAUCUAAAACUGUUGUGGCACAUCUUACUAAAUUAAAUGAUAUAGCCACCCUGUUCACUAAUGAUGAGAGAACUCGUUACUUUUAUAUCCUUCAAAUAUUUCCGUUCUCAUUAAAGGGUGAUGCUAAGAUAUGGUUUAAUUCUCUUGAUCCUGGUUGUGUGCGUAGUCCCCAGGAUAUGAUUUACUACUUCUCUGCUAAAUAUUUCCCUGCUCAUAAGAAACAAGCUGCUUUAAGGGAAAUAUAUAAUUUUGUGCAAAUUGAAGAAGAGAGUCUCCCACAAGCUUGGGGGAGGCUUCUCCAAUUACUUAAUGCUUUGCCUGAUCAUCCUCUGAAGAAACAUGAAAUACUUGAUAUCUUUUAUAAUGGACUAACCGAUGCUUCCAGAGAUUACCUGGAUAGUUGUGUUGGUUCUGUUUUCAGGGAAAGAACACCGGAUGAAGCUGAGAUUCUAUUGAAUAAUAUGUUGACUAAUGAAAAUAAUUGGACACUCCUGAGCCAACUCCUGAGCCUAUUCCUAAACCAACUCCGAAGAAAAGGGGUGUUCUAUUUCUCAGUCCUGAAGAUAUGCAAGAGGAAAAUAAAUCUAUGAAAGAAAAAGGUAUUAAAGCUGAAGAUGUUAAGAAUUUACCUCCUAUUGAAGAAAUACAUGGUCUUAAUUUACAGCCUGUUGAAGAAAUAUAUGAUCUUAAUUCAUCACCUAUUGAAGAAACUCAUGGUCUUGAUAACCCGACAUAGGUAGUAAAGGUAAAUUCUCUCUAUAGAUUUGAUGAAGGUGAUAUUCCUCACUAUAAGUCUACUAUACAGUGCUUGGAUGAGUUUGACAAUUUUAUUGUUAAACAAGAAAAUUUUAAUGCUUAUUUUGGUAGACAAUUAAAACAAAAUGCUUAUAUGAUUGAACACUUGGGUGAUUAUAUGUCUAGAGUUAAAGGUGAACUUAAACUCAUUUGUAAACAUGGUUCUAUGGUUACCACUCAAGUAUAACAAGUACUUAAAGCUCAGAAUGAUUUGCUCAAUGAACUUAAUAGUAAGAAUGAUGAUUAUGCUGUUAGAGUGGCUACUAGAACUAGUAAAAUGACUCAGGAACCUUUGUAUCCUGAAGGCCAUCCUAAGAGAAUUGAGCAAGAUUCUCAAAGAAAUAAUACAGAUGCACCUAGUCCUUCUAAAAAGAAGAAAAAGAAAAAUGAUAGGACUUUGCAUGCUUCUAAGGAGCCUGUUGCUGAAAUAAAUGAGAAUCCUAAUGAUAUAUCUAUUUUUGAUGCUGAAACACAAUCCGGUGAUGAACAUGAACCUAGUGAUAACGUUAAUGAUGAUGUCCAUGUUGACGCUCAACCUAGUAAUAACAAUGAUGUAGCAAUUGAACUCGUUGUUUAUCUUGAUAACCCACAAUCAAAGAAUCAACGUUAUGAUAAGAGAGACUUUGUUGCUAGGAAACACGGUAAAGAAAGAGAACCAUGGGUUCAGAAACCCAUGCCUUUUCCUCCCAAAUCAUCCAAGAAAAAGGAUGAUGAGGAUUUUGAGCGCUUUGCUGAAAUGAUUAGACCUAUCUUCUUGCGUAUGCGAUUAACUGAUAUGCUCAAAAUGAAUCCUUAUGCUAAGUAUAUGAAAGAAAUUGUCACUAAUAAAAGAAAGAUACCGGAAGCCGAAAUUUCCACCAUGCUUGCUAAUUAUACUUUUAAGGGUGGAAUACCUAAGAAACUAGGAGAUCCAAGAGUACCAACUAUACCAUGCUCCAUUAAAAGAAACUAUGUUAAAACUGCUUUAUGUGAUCUUGGAGCCCGUUUUAGUGUUAUGCCUCUCUCUUUAUAUCGUAGACUUGAUUUGAAUAAGUUGACACCUACUGAAAUAUCUUUGCAAAUGGCUGAUAAAUCAACUGCUAUACCUGUCGGUAUUUGUGAGGAUGUGCCUGUUGUGGUUGCAAACGUUACUAUUUUAACGGACUUUGUUAUUCUUGAUAUUCCCGAGGACGAUAGUAUGUCUAUUAUUCUUGGCAGACCUUUUUUGAAUACUGCAGGGGCUGUUAUUGAUUGCAACAAAGGCAAUGCCACUUUUCAUGUUAAUGGCAAUGAGCAUACGGUACACUUUCCGAGGAAACAACCUCAAGUCCACAGUAUAAAUUCUAUUGGAAAAAUUCCAUCGAUUAUUUUUGGAGGUUUUGAAUUUCCUCUUCCUACUGUCAAGAAGAAAUAUGAUAUUCUUAUUAUUGGGGAUGUGCAUAUCCCCGUUGAGGUAACAUAGUGUUAUUCGAAAUUUCUCCGGUUCCAUGUUAGUCAGAAUGAGUUUGUUAACAAGACCUGAUCAACCUUGUUAGUGGAUUCCUUUUGAUGAGCAUGAGAUGGAUGAAGUUAGAAAGCACAACCUUCUGUACCCUCCUUCUACUUUCUGUUAUUUAGUUGAAAUAAAGUAAAAUAGUAUUUUCCUAUCUGUUUUCUGAAUUAUCCUUGCAAUAUAAAAAUACCCCGAAAAUAAAAGUUCUCCAAAUGCCCUGCCAAUUUAAUAUGAUUUCUUCUGGAAUAUUUGAGAAUAUCUCGCACUGAGAACACAGCAGGGGGAGCAAGCACCUGGCCACGAGGGUCCAGGGCGCGCCCACCCCUACAGGGCGCGCCCCCUGCCUCGCGGGCCCACGGUGGCUCCCCCCCCACUUAUACCUGCACCCACACACUUCUUCCUCCUCCCAAAAAAAUCGCCAUCCAGCUCAAGCACGAGUUCUAGCUCAUUUUGCUGCGAUUUUCGAUCUCCUUGCUCAAAGCACCUCUCACAAAACUGCUUGGGGGUAUUGUUCCUUGGUAUGUGACUCCUCCAUUGGUCCAAUUAGUUUUUGUUCUAGUGCUUUAUUCAUUGCAAAUUUGUGCUGCCUAGGUGACCAUGUUCUUGAGCUUGCAUGUUAAAUUUAUAUGGUUCCAAGUAGUUCUAAUGCAUGAUAUAGGCUCUAGGCACUUGUAGGAGUAGUUGCUAUCAAUUUUGUUGAGUUUGGUUUACUUUUACUUGAAGUUACUAAAAAUUUCAGAAAUUUUGCACAGGAAGAAAUAUGUUUAGGAAAAUGUACCAAGGUGGUCCUUCAAGGGAACAAGGACCCAGGCAUGCAAUGCGUGAUGCUGAUGAUGAGCCACCAAGGGACGCUCCAGUGCGGCCUUGUGAAUGGCCUUCAGAGGACUUCAUGGAUCGAGCAGGAAUUAAGGACGAAUUUAACGCAUAUUUGCGUAACGCUGAUCUUGUGAGCUUCGAGGCAGAAAAGUGCCGCGAGUACAACUAUCUCACUAGUUCCUUUGUGAGGAGGUUUGAAUUUUCAUCUUCACGCAAUUCUCAAACUGUCCUGUUUGAUCUUUAUGAAAAUUCUUAUACUAUGGACUUAGAGGAUUUUACCACUGCUUGCAAACUUCCACAAUGGGGUAGUCCUAGUGAACCUCGCAAAUCUGAAUUUAGAGAUUUUCUUGCUAGUAUAACUGUGGGUGAAUCUAGAGACAUAACACAAGCUACCAUAGGGAGUAUUCAUUUUCGUGCUAUACAUUAUUUUGCUCUCUUCAUAGGUAGGUGCAUAAAUGGUAAGGAUGAAGCAUGUCACAUGUAUGUCCCUGACCUCAGUGUUCUCAGGAGUGCUGUGUUAGGAGACAAACAUUAUAAUUUAGGAGCCAUUGUCGCACGUAGGUUGCAUAAUAAUAAAAUUAAUGGAGAUUUCUUUGGAGGAAUUUAUGCAACCCGUCUAGCUAAUUUUCUUGAGGUACCUAUACGUGAGUAUGAUGUUGAGCUGCCUAAUGUUCAUUUAGAUUAUAAUGCCAUGGUUCAUCAUCGUUUUCUUGAGAGGAACGAGCAGUCCCUCCAGUAUCGCUUAAUCUUUGACACACGUCGCGCUGUCCAUAUUACUCUCCCUGCUCCUGCCUUCUUUGAUUAUCAGGCAAAAUGAAGACAUGUUAUUACCAGAGAGGAGGCAGAUGAGUACGAGAGGAGGGCGGAGGCAGCUCGCCGCCACGCUGCAGCUCAGGAGGCAAUAGCCGCUGCAUCUCAGUACUACCCCGGUUAUAACUUUGGAUAUCCACCAGGCCAUCCGUGGCAAUAGACCAACUUAGGCCAAAAGCCUAAGCUUGGGGGAGUACGUAUCUCUCACCGACAUUACAUUUAUGUUCACACACUCAUUGCUAGAUGUCGGUGCUCAUACUCUUUCAUUGUACUAUCCAUGCUAGUUUAUUUUCUUUUUCUUGCUUUCUUCUUGUGUGUUUGAUAAACCUUAAGAAAAACCAAAAAAAAAUUAGUUGUAGCUUUUAGCUAGUUUACUUUCUUGCUGUAGUCGUAAUAAUUAAAAAGAAAACCAAAAAAGAUUUCCCGUUCUUCUUUUGCUUGUUGGGAGCUUUCCCGUGUAAAUAGUUUUAUUUCUUUUCUUUUCUUUGGGGGUCGAUAGGAGAGGACCAUGAUUAAAUUGUUGAAGUGGCUCUUAUAUGCAUUAUUGUUGAUUUAACCAAGAGCCCAUAUUGCCUUGUCUUCUCAUGUUUAUUGAAUGCUUGCAGAUUCCAGCUUAGUCCAAUGCACAUGCACUAUUAUUAUUCACAUCGUUCGGUCGUGCAAGUGAAAGGCAAUUAUGUUGAUAUAUGAUGGACUGAUUGAGAUGAGAGAAGCUGGUAUGAACUCGACCUCUCUUGUUUUUGUAAAUAUGAUUAGUUCAUCGUUCCUGAUUCAGCCUAUUAUGAAUAAACAUGUUUGCAAUGACAAUUAGAGAUUAUAGUUGCUUAUGCCAUGCUUAAUUAGCUAGGAGUUUAUAAUGGUUUACCUUGCGUGCCAACAUGCUAUUAAAAUGGUUGUGAUGUGGUAUGAUGGGGUGGUAUCCUCCUUUGAAUGAUUCAAGUGACUUGACUUGGCACAUGUUCACACAUGUAGUUGAAACAAAUCAACAUAGCCUUCACGAUAUUUAUGUUAAUGGUGGAUUAUAUCCUACUCAUGCUUGCACUCAAUGUUUAUUAAUUUUAAUGCAUGUUCAUGACUGUUGUCGCUCUGUAGUUGGUCGCUUCCCAGUCUUUUGCUAGCCUUCACUUGUACUAAGCGGGAAUAUUGCUUGUGCAUCCAAUCCCUUAAACCCCAAAGUUAUUCCAUAUGAGUCCACUAUACCUUCCUAUAUAUGCGGUAUCUACCUGCCGUUCCAAGUAAUUUGUAUGUGCCAAACUCUAAACCUUCAAAUGAAAUUCUGUUUUGUAUGCUUGGAUAGCUCAUGUAUCAACUAGGGAUAUCCGUAUCUUCCAUGUUAGGCGGGUUAUUCUCAAGAGGAGUGGACUCCGCUCCUCACUCACGAGAAAAUGGCUGGUCACCGGGAUGCCUAGUCCCAUGCUUUAUGCAAAUCAAAUCAAAAUAAUUUCAAACAAAACUCCCCCUGGGACUAUUGUUAGUUGGAGGCACUCGUUGUUUCGAGCAAGCCAUGGAUUGAUGCUUGUUGCUGGAGGGGAGUAUAAACUUUACCAUUCUGUUUGGGAACCGCCUAUAAUGUGUGUAGCAUGGAAGAUAUCGCCAUCUCUUGGUUGUUAUGUUGACAAUGAAAGUAUGCCGCUCAAAAUAUUAUUUAUCUCUAUUUCAAAACCGAGCUCUGGCACCUCUACAAAUCCCUGCUUCCCUCUGUGAAGGGCCUAUCUAUUUACCUUCAUGUUGAGUCAUCACCCUCUUAUUAAAAAGCACCAGCUGGAAAGCACCGCUGUCAUUUGCAUCCAUUACUGUUAAUUUAUAUUGGGUAUGACUAUGACUGGAUCUCUUUUACCAUGAAUUACAAUGUCUAGUCAGUUCUUGAUCUUUAAAGGUGCUCAGCAUUUAUGUUUUGCGGUCUCAGAAAGGGCUAGCGAGAUAACAUCUUGUUAUAUCAUAUUAUGAUUGUUUUGAGAAAGUGUUGUCAUCCGAGAUUUAUCAUUAUUGCUCGCUAGUUGAUUAUAGCAUUGAUAUGAGUAAACAUGAGACCUAAGUGUUAUUGUGAAUAUGGUUAGUCAUAAUCUUUGCUGAAAACUUGAAUGUUGGCUUUACAUAUUUACAACAACAAGAGCAAACAGAGUUUGUAAAAGUUUUUCUUGAUCACUUUCAGUUUAUCAACUGAAUUGCUUGAGGACAAGCGAAGGUUUAAGCUUGGGGGAGUAGAUACGUCUCCGUCGUAUCUACUUUUCCAAACACUUUUGCCCUUGUUUUGGACUCUAACUUGCAUGAUUUGAAAUCUUCACCGUUUGUUUUCUAUCAUUUUAAUAAUAUAAUAGAUAGAUAGAUGCCUGGGAGUUAGGUAACCCCUUCUCUCCAAAAUAGUGAAAGUAACCAAUUUAUAUAUAUAAUUUACCGCAAAUAGUGCAAGGCACUCGUGGGACUAGAUUGUAGCAUGGGAUUUUAGGAUACUAGGGGCUUUGUUCAUGCAUUUUCGCUUGAAGAAACAUGUCUGCUACUUUGGGGUGGUGCUCCAAUGGUACACCGUCACCAUUUUGAGGCCCUUGACAGAAAAUUGAGAGAUAUACUUUCAAUGAACGGCAGCAACAAAUAUACUCUUCCUUUUGAUAUUCUAUAAUAGAAGAAAACUUCUAUGCUACAUUGAUUUGAUCUCUCACACCAAAACAACAGCCGGACAAAUCACAGCUAAACCGACGAUGGGCAAUUUCACAAGCGCGGCAGGCCGCCGCGGCUUCGCACGGCUAGUAUAGUUUAGACCGGCAAUGGAUAUGUAUUGCUAUGAUUCAAGUAAGUUGUGUUAUAGUACAAGCAGUGUUUAUGGAUGAAUAUAUAGUUCUACUAUUAUGUUGAUUACGGUAUUUGUGGCCUUGCUAUGGAAAAAAAUCAGCACAUAUAGAAACCACUAAUGAAAGUUUGUUUCUUUCAUUUUUUUCAUCUCUUACACUUGUUCCCUAUGUUGUGCAUUCUCUUUAUUCGGAUACAACUCGUACAGACAGAAUUCAUGUUGCCAUUCACCACAAGAAAAACUGCGAACACUGAGUGGUCGGUUGUAUGUCGAGUGUUAUUUUAUGGGGUGCUCAGCAUAAAACCCAAUUUGCCGAGCGAAAACUGGAAACACUCAGCAUAAUAUUACAGACCUUCCUUCCUCUUCUUGCUGGUCAGCUCUUCUCUCGCUCUACUGACAACAUCACAUGAUGCACCAGUCUGUAAUAAUGCACAGACACUCUGUAUCCCACUACUUCGGCAAAUCAUUGCCUUGGGUCCCACUUCUAUAGCUACAUGGUCAUGUGCACAACUCCCACCACUCCAGCCAAUAUCAGUGAUGUUUCCCGUCGUCUUCGACACUCUCUUUACUUGUCCCGUGCCUCUUUCCGCUCACCCACGGUUGCAUCAUCGAUCGACCACUUUGCCGAGGCAUAUCACUUUGCAUCACUCCUACUUGCACACAUUGUAUAGUUGCCGAGUUUUUCUUAUCUCCAAAUACCAUCUACCAGGACAUCAAUAUCAUCAUAAAGUUACAGUAUAGCUAGAAAGACAAAAGAAGAGCCACAAAAAACUUUCUGCUGAUUAAGUUCUGUCACGUUACCGAAAAAGCUCACGCCCCGCUUUAUACAUAAAGCAAGUUGUGUCACGUUCAAAAUAAGAUUUCCGCGACCAUGGCCAAGGUUAAAUCAAUUUCGCCUGAAGUUGAACAAGAAAAUUAACUCAUUUGACUGACAACAAGGAUCACAAACAACAUUCCAAUUUAAAGAACAUAUUGACUUUUGUCUUGUUCCCAGGAGAAGCACAAAUUGGCUUCUAGCCACAAUAUAUUAAAAAAAAUGGUGCGUGGGAGGAGGGUCGGGGGAUGUUACAAAAGUUGCAAUCCACAUGAAAAUGACAGCGGCAUGACAAAGCAAAAUAAAAGAGAUAUUUUAGCUGCUCAUAUAUUAUCUCCAACGGCUAAAUAAAUCCUAUGCACAACCGGCACACAGUAUUAGAACGACUCAAUUACAAGCAAAAAAGGUUCUUACGUGCGAGUACCAAUUGCCUUAACAAGUUGUACAACUUGAACCCGAAAGAAAUAUUCUUGAACUUAAUCAUUUUACACGUUUGUACCACUAGCACCUAGUUGGCUAGCUACUAGGUACGUGUGUCCCGAUUAGUACGACCUGACCUCUUCUCGGACAAUGAAGAUGGUGGAGUUUUUAGGUAGGUUGUUCUUGCCACGAGAUCAAAUGACGAAGUUCCUCCACAUCAGCAUAGGUAAUCUCGAUCAGAAGAAAUAACAGGCCGCCCACGAUGAUAUCUGACUACCUCAACGCGCGCACAUGUGCUUCGAAUUUGACCAGUGUAAUUCGUUGAGAUAUAUUUUCUCUAUGAAACUUUCCAAGCUUAGUUAUACCUCAGAGAAGCAAUCGAUCUUGUGCAGGCAGUAUAAAUACACAACGUACGCAUGGUGGCAGUCUAUCUCAUCGUUACAGAUACAUCUUCCUUGAUUAGUUUUGUAAGGCUUAAUCAGCGAUGGAGUACUCGCCGAAGCUAGCAGUAGUGGUGCUCUUAGCUCUCGCGUCCGCCAUGGCGGUCACGGGCCAGAACUCGGAGCAGGACUUCGUGGACGCCCACAACGCGGCGCGCGCCGACGUGGGCCUUGGGGAGGUGACAUGGGACGCUACGGUGGCAGCCUUUGCGCAGGACUACGCGGAUCAGCGCCGCGGCGACUGCCAGCUGAUCCAUACUCCUGAUGGCCGGCCGUACGGGGAGAACCUCUACGGAGGCGGCGGCGGCGGGACCGAGUGGACGGCGACGGACGCCGUGAAUUCGUGGGUGUCGGAGAAGCAGUACUACGACCACGACAGCAACACCUGCUCGGCGCCGGAGGGUGAGUCGUGCGGGCACUACACGCAGGUGGUGUGGCGCGACUCGACGGCCAUCGGUUGCGCCCGCGUCGUCUGCGACAGCGGCGACGGUGUGUUCAUCAUCUGCAGCUACAACCCGCCAGGCAACUUCCCCGGGGUGAGCCCGUACUAGGCUAUAUGCAUCAUGCAUGCACGCAUGCGAGCGUGCAUGUACGUACGUAGCAGCGUAUUGCAUAAAUAAAAUGAUUAAGCUGAGAUAACCACAGUGUGAUCAGAUGUGAUGUAUAGUUAACCAGCCGGCCGGAUUUGACGCCAUAUAUUGUUUAGACCGGCUGUAUAUAUGUACUGUUAUGAUUCAGGUAUUAAGUUGUGUUAUUGUACGAGCAGUGUUUAUGGAUGAAUAUAUGGUUCUACUAUUAUACUGAGUAUGGUAUUUGUGCCUCGCUGUGGAAAAAAACCCAGCAUACAUAGAAACCACUAAUCAAAGUGUC
This 65846-nucleotide long non-coding RNA is filed under the name Triticum aestivum (bread wheat). RNAcentral's name for it is "long non-coding RNA (TAES_LNC009276)". The stretch from base 37654 to 37740 matches the Rfam family "MIR1120/MIR1122 microRNA precursor family". The record is from RNAcentral. Lineage: Eukaryota; Viridiplantae; Streptophyta; Magnoliopsida; Poales; Poaceae.